UUGUUUUUUUUUUUUUUGUAAAUUUCACCGAAGUCCCCUGAGUUCAUCCGUAAAUUCCAGUACAUAUUCUUUGAACUGCCAUUACGAAGUUCACUAGUUUCACAUUCAAUAUCCGCUACGAAAGAGUGCUAAGAUGGACAAGCAAUGGAACAAUUCUUAAAAAUUUGCAGUACCAAAGAAAAUUCAGUGUUUCUCUUGAACACCGUUCACAAAAAGGAGACCAAGAUUUUCACGAGACGACAGUACAACACAAGUCACCGGACAGCUAGCCUUUCUACCCUCGAACGCACCACUUUGCCAUGCCUCCUCCAUAAUGGUCUCACGUGCACUCUGUACCGUUUGGCCAUGUGCAGCAACCCCGGAGCCGUGCGGCUAAGAACACACGAUUAAAACCUUCUUGAUGAGCUCCUGAAACACCAGACAGAGCAAGACCAUGGACAAACCACUGUCAUCAACGGGAGCAGUUGUGGUGUCUGCAUCAUUAUAUAUAUAAAAAAGAUCGCCAUGCCAAUCAGGAGAAGCAUCCGUGGGUUGCCUGUUGUUGCCUCAACGGCAACGCAGAUGCAAAUGGUCCCAUACUAAUCCCAUGCCCAUAACGAUAUAUUAGUUUGUCUGAAUAUGCAGCAGUGAUGUAACACUUUUGUAAUUUUUCUAACUGAUUAAUGCUAACCAACUUUACAGGUUCGCAAGCUUGUUUCUGAUUACUAAAUGGAAGGUGUUUAAGGUUUGCUGGCACAGAUAUAAACAAAGCUGAAUGUGAAGUGUAGAGAGCAUACCACGGAGGAGAGGCUCUUCUUCCCGACAUCAACUGGCAAUCCUUGUCCGCACCUCAGUCUCCGGCUGAGCACCAUAAGCUCCUCCAGCGUCGUCACCGCGCUCCUCGGAGGGCUCCACGGAUUGCUCAGCUGAUCCUCGUCGUUGGCCACCUCCCAGCUCUUCUCCGAAGGUGCCCGGGGAAACUGAAACUCCUGGUCCUGGGCUGAAGUAUCACCACUGGAGUGGCUGUAAUCUUCUGACUCUGAAAACGAGAACCAAGCGUCACGACGGCCGGAGGAGCCAUCAACCCAUGCUGCUGCUGCAGCACCAGAAGCGUCGUUGUUGUCUGGAAAACCAAAUGCUUCCAGAUCAAAACCAAGCGAGUAUUCCUCCUCGCUCUCGACCGCAAAAGGGUUCAGUGAGCGGGAAGAUGCUACAAAGCCACCAUGAUCAGGCAGCACGUGGAAGGGAGAUGCUUCUUGUAUAGGCUUCCCAGGCUUUUCUUCCCACUGGAAUGGCACGCUCACAACAAGCUUUGUCGGGGUCGGGGAUGGGCAUGCAGACUCUGAUGCCACUGGCUUGGAAAUGACCCAGUCCCUUUUGGGCGCGCCAGGUUUCACCUCCCAGAGAAAUGGGACUGAAAUCUGCUGCUUCACCCGUUCCCGAGGGUUGAAUUCAGGCAGUUCAAGCUCUCCAUCCAUUGUGAGGUAUUUGGUUUGGAGAUGAAAUUUGUGUUGUGUUGUUGCAGAUCUUGCCUGCCCUGCUGAUAUAUGUAGGAGAGAACUUGUGGGUUAGAUGAGCCGCUCCUGCAUCACAGUGCUCUUGUUCAACUGUUCCUUUGCUAUACCUGCAAGCUAGAAAUACAAUUGGACAGUACCAACUCCUCUUUAGCUCUGACCAUGAAGGGGGGAAAAAAAGAAGUCAUCAGAUCUCAGCAACUGCUCUUGCAUUUGCAUUUUUCCAUGGUUAGAAAGAGGGCUACAGGGCCUUAAAACCACAAGGAUGAAACCAUAAACAGGGAUUUGAUAAUUAGACCAAAAUAAUCGCUUAUUCAGCAACAAAUCUAAAUACAAUUUACAAAUGAUCUGGGCCACAGUAAAGAAUAAAAAAAGAAUGCGAUCUUCAUCUGUUGAAAAAUCAUAAACACCUUUCCUGUUACCACCUCUGCCAUGUUUUGACAGCAGAAGAUCAAGAACUAGUUCUAAUGGACUCCAAGUACUGUACCACCUCUGCCAUGCUAGGUCGGCUUGAAGGUGUGUUGGAAGUGCACACUAAACCCAACUUGAGCACCUGAACAAAUUCGGCUUCAACAAAUCCCCUCAGGCUUCGAUCAAAGCAGUCUGAUGUAGUUCCAUCCUCCAAUAUCUCCCUAACAUAAUCACGCAGAACCACUGCUGUAGCCACUCCAGGGCUGUCUACUGGUUUCCUCCCUGUCACAAUCUCAAGUAAAACCACCCCAAAGCUAAAUACAUCACUCUUAUCACUAUAUCUCAAACUCGGAGAUGCUAGCUCCGGUGCAAUAUACCCAAUGGCGGUGUGAAUUCUACUCAACUCAAUGCUUCCUAGAAUUGGCAAUAGCUUCCCCAAUCCAUAAUCAGCCAGCUUAGCUUCAUAUUUCCCAUCUAACAUAAUGUUGGAGGACUUGAUGUUGAGAUGCAGGAUCUGUGGCCGGCAGUCAUGGUGAAGGUAAGAAAGUGCUCGUGCCGCUCCAAGUGCAAUGUUAAACCUCCUUUCCCAAAACAGCUCACCUCCACCACCUCUGCUGCUGCUCUCGGAGAAAGCAUAAGGGCGGUUCCCAUGGAGAUGAUCAUACAAGCUCCCGUUGGCCAUAAAUUCGGACAGAAGCAACUGCAUUGUGGAUGACCAGUAGUAACCCUGGAAAGCAACCAAAUUGGGGUGGCUGAGGUUACCGAGCUGGCUCAUCUCAUGCUCAAACUCAUCCUGGCCUCUGACCCUCCCCAGGGUCUCCAAUUUCUUCACAGCAAUGGAUAGGCCGUUUUCAAAAGUGGCUUUGUACACCGUACCGAUUGACCCACCACCAAUGAGACAAUCUUUAUCAAGGAGUGCCUUAGUUCCGGUUUCCCAAUCUUCAUAUCUUGAAGGCAAGCUCUUGCUGAAAAGCACCAACUUUCCGAUGAUUGCAUUUGAGCCUGGUGAUGCAAUUGGGUCGCUCUCAGAAACCAGAACCUCUUCCUCUUCCUUACUGUCCUCCACAUCUCUAGUCUUGCGUGUAUAAGCCUUGAUGUUCAAGGCACAAACAAUGCAUAUCCCGAUAAGUAUGAGGGCUGCAGCAACAAUGGCAAUUAUGAUAGGCACCCCCAAUCGUUUCCGGUGCCCCUGGUCCUGCCCCCCGCAGAGAUUGUUCAAUGGAGGGCCGCAUAGUAACGAGUUGUUCAUGAAUGCAGUGAAAUCAAACUUCUGCAAGACCGGCACGAAAGGGAUCAUGCCAGACAGGUUGUUGAAGGACACAUUAAAAUGCGAAAGGUUAGAGAGGUUUCCAAGCUCUUGAGGGAUUGGCCCAGUCAGUCGAUUCUCAGAGAGGUCUAGGAGAACAAGGUUUGUGAGCUGCCCAAGUGUCACGGGAAUGCCCCCAUCAAGCUGGUUCCUGUGGAGGUCAAGCAUCUUGAGGUAAGUUAAGUUGUCGAGUGUGCCUGGGAUCGCUCCUUGAAGUUUGUUGCCAGAAAGAUUCCUGUGUUGAUUUAAUUUAGCUAGUCAGUACAUGGAAACAUUGUACCACACGCGAAUUGCAGUAAUGCAAGUAUACUGAACAAACACUUACAGCUCAAGCAAGAAUUUGCACUGGCUGAGGGACCCUGGAACCUCUCCUGUGAGAUUAAGGCCUGCGAGGUCGAGUGUGACAAGCAUCUCGAUCCCACCAAGCUCAGCUGGGAUUGAACCGGAGAUGUCGGCAUUGCCCGCGAGCCGGAGCACGGAGAGUGAGCGCAAUGUCCCAAUCACAGGUGGAACGACUCCAGCAAGAGCAUUCGCCCCCAAAUCCAAAACCCUGAGGUUGCGGCAAUUGACCACGCUCUCGGGCACCGGCCCCGUGAGCCGGUUGCCGGACGCGUCCAAGUAAGAGAAUUUGCUGCCGCAAGUUGUAAUGCUGGGAAUUUCGCCGUCGAAGUCGUUGGAGGAGACGUUGAAGUAGGUGAUGUUUACCGUGCCGAGGAGGGCAAAUGGCGCAGCUCCGGAGAAGCGGUUGCUCCCGACGUCGAAGAGGUCAAUGCUGCUGCAGGAGGCGACCUUGCCGGCUAAAUCGCCGUAGAGAGAGUUGCUUCGGACGGAGAUGUAGUUCAUCUCCGGCGGCGCGCAGACUCGGUCCGGGAACUCGCCGGAGAGGCGGUUGUAGGAGAAGUCGAACCCGGCGAGGCGCGGGCAGUUGGCAAUGCCCGGCGGGACGGGGCCGGUGAGGUCGUUGUGCGCGAGGGAGACGUAGCGGAGGCGGAGGCAUGGGUUGAAGAGUGCGGGUGGGAUCCCGCCGGCGAAGGCGUUGUAGGAGAGGUCGAGGAGGCGGAGCAAGGGGAAGGUGCCGAGGAACGGCGGGAUCUCGCCGCCCAGCGCGUUCCGGCUGAGGUUGAGCUUGCGGAGCGUGGGCGCGAGCGCGCGGAAGCUGGGCGGGACGCCGCCGGUGAGGGCGUUGCCGAAGAGCGAGAUGGACUCGAGCGCGGGGAGGCGCGCGAGGGAGGGGGAGAGCGCGCCCGCGAGGCCCGCGCCGUGGAUGCGCAGCCGCUGCACGGGGCCGGAGGCCCCGCCGCAGGUGACCCCCACGAAGUCGCAGGGGUUCCCUGACGGCGUCCACGUCUCGAGCACCCCGCGCGGGUCGGCGGUGAUGGCGGCCUUGAAGUCCAGCAGUACCCGCCGCUCGACGUCCGUGGCGGCGCCGGCCCAAUGCGGCGGCAGCAGCAGCAGGAGGACGGCCAGGAGAACCGGCGCCGCCGCCGCCGCGGCGCGGGAGGAGCGCGUCAUCGCGACAGGCCGCGCUGUGCCACCGCACGCAGCAGCCGCAGCAGCAUUAGCACCACCACGCCGCCAGCACCACCACCCCACUCGGCCGCGGUGGCCGCUGGUAGUAGUUUAAGCGGCCGUUAACUGCCAGCCACGGCGCCGAGUAAAGGAGUGAGCGAGUAGGUGGCGGUGGGUGGCGUGCGUUAUGGUGUGCGGGACGGGCGGGUACCACGCCAAGCGAGCGGCCGCCCCCGCGUGACACGCUCCCUCCCUACUGGCCUCCUCAUCUGGUUUCCAUUUCGUGUCGCGCUCGGCUGCUGCCUUGACCUUGUCACGUACGUUCGGGAGUCGGGUGGCCGUAGGCCGUAGCGGCGGCGUUUACACGUGAAAUCUAGGCGAGGGAGACGGGGCUUGGCUUCCUGGGGGUCAGCGGGGGGAGGUAGACGGAAUGAUGCUGCGGGAAAGGGGAGGGCGUGGCUUUCCGGGUUGGGUUGCCACCCAGCCUGCCGCGGCGUGAAUGUUUAGGAGUCGCGAGGGUUCAACGAGUAUUAAAUGCUAUGCCACAUCAUCAAUUUUAUCGACUUAGGUCUAGUUUGAUUUCCUUUGCUUAUUUUUAGCACCCGUCACAUUCGAUGUGAUACGUGCUAAAAAUAAUCAAAAGUAACCAAACAGGACCUUAGCAACUUAGUUAUAAGAAGAGAGAAGAGGUGAGUUUUGUCCCCAUAAAACUCACCUAGCACAGUUACCAAUUCUCUGAAAUUUACAUUGAGGAUGUUAUAGUUGCAUCGCAAGACACAUUUAAUCGUAAUUCCACGUAAAAAAUAAAUAAUGCAGGCAGUGAUAAUUUUAUUCUAUUAAAAAGAUGAUAUGGUAGUUUUAGCAAUAGUGCGAUAACCUUCGGAACGUUUUUCCAAGACCGGAGCGGCACAGUUUGGUGGUGGGGAGCUGGUGGGCGCCGCCGACCCUAGCCGAUUGGAGUAUGGGCGUGGCCGCGGUAGGCAGGACGACGAAGAGCUGCCGGUUUGCAUGCCAGUGCCACCCCCCGCCGCUGUCCGCCGUGUCUACGUGCCCUGCUCUUCGCCAUUCCCGUCGUUGCUUCGUCGGGACGUUGGGGGUCUCAGUCUCUCCGACUCAGAUCACGGCAAUGGCAGCCGCGAUGCGGCACGGCGAGUUGCCCAUUGCGUACGCCGACGGGAUCACGGAGUGGACUCGCCAUUCAUGGCCGCGCCUGUACUGUACAUCACUCAUCGCCUCAUCAAUGAAUGGCUGCCUACAUCUCUCACGUCGCGUACGUGCGGAUUUAUGUUUGCGUUCGUAGAAUCGUCCUGGUCACCGUACAGUUGCACGCCGAUAUCAUCUCAUCUGCCGUGGAGUCAUGUGCACACACCUGACCCGGGCGAAGCACGGAACACAACAGGACUGCUGCCGGACCGCUGAUGGGAGGUGAAAUGGGCUCACUUUUCACUGGUGGGCUGCGCGUGCGUCACGCCGUCUGUCACCGGCAACGGGUUGGUACGAAAGUCUUUACGGAGUUUUUUUUUUUAUAUAUGAGGAUCUUUACGGAGUUUUUUUUAUUUAUUUAUAAGGAUCUUUACGGCGUUGAGUUCAAGGCGGGAAUGGCCUACCAGCGGAGCGGAGCCCGCCACCAUGUUUCUUUUUGAGCGGAGUCAAUAAGCGAUGAGGAGCUCUGUGGCGCACUUUUAUCCAGUGCUGUUUCAGCUCUUUGAGGGAGCCGGCAUGCCUUUUGGUCGGCAAUGAUCGCAGACGUGCUUGCCAAAUGAUGGGUGCCAUUGUCAUAUGGCAUUUUUUUUUCUUACCGAGGUUCCGCGAGCAAAGAAACAAAAUAGAAUGCAGAAGUUUCUCUGUCAACCUUGGUGUUUUUGUCGCACAAUUCCUAACUAUCGUCCUUGUUAAUGCAUACACAUCCCUGAAAACAUCUAGGAGAGAGUGACCAAAUAAAUCUUGAUAUCGAUAAAGUUAUCUUAUGUAUCAAAUCACGUUACGUACCACUGAAAAAAUAGCGAAUCCGAAUGAACAGGUUCCAAAAAAAGUUUAAGUGUAAGUACGUUUAUUUGAGGUACCGUUAACUUGGUUUUAUGUUGGUUUGGAUCCAUGAAAUUUUCUAGGGUGUUAUUUUGUAUUGGAACAUGAUUUGAUUUCUUAGAUUCAUGGAGCGGUUUAAGUUUAAACCGGAGUAAGAGUGACUCCAAAAGUCUCUCAAAAAAAAUCCAGAGCUCUACUAAAUUUUUUUCCCAAGUUCAUGUCAUCCCACAUCUCAAAUAAUAAACUCUCCGGUACUUCAAAACUAGUCAUGUCAGCUCCUAUGUUGGGCUGCCAUUAGCUUCCACCUCGCGAUCUGUUCUGGGUCGACCUCUUAGCGGCAGCGUCCGCUGCUGCCACUCGCCCCUCCCAGCGCCUCGCCCUUUUGCCGCCGCUCCUACCCAUCAAAUAUGCCGCUGCGUUGUGCAAAAUCAAUUUUUUUUAUGUUGUGCAAAAUCAGUUGGAGAUAGGUAAAAAGCUGAUGAAGCCUUUUCCGUAUAACUCCUUUUCCAUACAAACGGUGCUAGAUUCGUCCUGAGAUGACCAUGACGAUGAUUUUUUUUUCCUCUGUUGCUCAUGUGGCCAUGUUAGUCAGUAAUUUAAUGUUACUGCCCAUUGACACGAGAAGAAUUUGAUGAGAUAAUGCAUCAGUUACCUUCAACGGUUGCUUGUCUACGCCAUCAACAGCCACCAAAUUACUCGAGCACAGAUCUUAUUUCUCCAGCGAUUCCAAAACUGCUCCAGCUAGUACUUGCUCAUUGUCGUCCUCCCCGAGGCACAGCUCAUCCACGGGUGCAUCCAUAAGACCAACCGCAUCUGUGACUGUAACGACCGCGAGCUCCUCGGCCACUCCCAUCGGCUCAUCACUGGCACGGGGACCACCGCAGUACGUCUCCUCAUCCCCCAGCGCCGGUGCCUGGUCCGUCAUGCAGGAGGAUUCAGCCGACGACGACGUCCACGAGGCGGCGGAACCACCGUCCUCCUCCACCGCCUCCUCGAGGCGGCCGUCAUCAUCCGCGGAGGCGGGGGCGUGGUCCUCGCUCUUGCGCUCCUUCUUCCUGGCGUAGUACGCCUCGAAGAAGGCCUCCUUCUGCGCGACGGAACCCUGGCGCGCCUGCACGGCGGCCUCCUCGAGGUAGCGGUUGUGCGCGAAGGCGGACCACUUCCCCCACUCGAGCGGCUCGGUGAGGAAGCGUCCGAAGGAGACCGGCGGUUUUGGGAAGCUGUUAGAGCAUAAUUAAGAUAUUAGGAAUAAUUUAAGGGAGUUUUUGAAGUUGCUUCUUUCAUAAAAUGCUUCAUCUUGCAAAUCUUCUCACGGCCUCUGCAUUCAUGUAAGAGCAUCUCGCCUGUUUAAAUUAGUUCAACAUAUAGUUGUGAGAAGUUCCAUAUCUUGCAAAUAAAAUGCAGAGAUCUGUCCAGCUUCGAACUCAAUUGUCACCGUUAUGAAUGAGAUAAUGGACAAUAUUUGGUUCAUCAUAUGGCGAAUGUCCUUGCGGAGCGAAACACGAAAACUGAUGCCGAGUCUCGGUAGAAACGGACACAAAUUUCAGCCAUAUACCAUGGUGCUAGAGUGGUCUUGAUCAACGGCACACGUUUUUCAGUAGGGGCUUGCCCCUCCUGUCCCUAAAAAAACGGCACACGUUUUUGGAUAUGCCACCCUGAUUCGAUUUGUUAAGUCAUACUCCUUGUAAAGGGGAGCUUUUUCCUCACUUCAAGAUAAACUUAGAGCUUGAUUUUUUUUUUCAAAACACAGAAGAACGGAGUCACGUUGUACUUAUGGAGCUUCCAAUGUACUUCUUCCAUUUCAAAUUGUAGGUCGUCUUAGCUUUUCUAGAUUCAUACAUAUUACUAUAUCUAGAUGCAUAAUAAUAUUUAUGCACCUGAGUAGCAUCCAGCAGGUCUGGAUUUAACUCCUCGUGGAGCGAAUUAAACAGGUUUGGAAUAAAAAAUUAUAUUAAAAAAAUAGGUCGGGACUUCUCCUGCUGACUUCGGUAAACAAAUAACAUCCAUGCAUCUAUAAAAAUCAAACGACCUACAAUUUGGAACGGAGCGAGUACUGGAAUAAAGCUAUGUUUCAAUAGGGCUUUAUUUUAAGUCUCCGUCAAACUGGAGUUUUUUUAAUGUUUUCUGAAUUCCAUGCGAAUUGUUCGUCUAAACAAAGAGCGACCAGGGGCAUGAAGCCAUGAAGGCAACAAUAACAGUUUCCAAUGGAAGUCCAUUGAUCUCCCGUUAUCCCAGUCCGUUUCGGUCCAUGACCCAGCAGCAGGCAUCUAGCGCGGUUCCUUCCUCGACACACUACACGCCCGGCCCUUUUCCUUGGACUCCAAACCACUCGAUCUCCAUCCAACGGUCCAGCCCAUCCAACCAUCACCCGCGCAAAUCCCCACCAUUUAUACCCCGGACCCCGCGAACUCGGCAGCGCCCCGGACUCCACAGCCCCUCCACUCCCGCCGUGGCGCCGUCCACCAACUCUUCCAGUCCCCCACCCGCCAUUUCCAAUCCCCUCCGACCGCUCGGCGGUUGGCUCCCUCCCUCCGCGCCCGGGGGGCGGGAUCCGCCGCGCCCGCGCGCGCGCAAUGGCGCCGGACCCGACCAGCGAGCUCGUGGUCACGCCCAAGGCGGCGGCCAAGGACGCGGCCUCCUGCUGCAAGUCCACGCCGCCCAAGGUCUCCUCCGUCUCCCCCGACGAGAUGCGCGCGGUGGCGCGCAAGUUCGCCGACCAGCCUAUCCAGGAGACCGAGCCGGGCGUCUGGGCCGUCCUCACCGCCAUCUCCAAGAAGGCCCGCCUCCGGCCCCAGGUCCCCUCCCUACCCUCCCUUAAACCCUAACCCUAAAACCCAAGCUCUGACGUCACUGAUCCGUCAUCCGUGUUCCUGUCUUUGUAUUUGCCUGCAUUGCUAUCCGGAAACAUUUGUUGGAUUGCAAUGUUUCUUGUCAUGUGCUUUAUCGGCUGAUGGCACUGCUAGUGCUAUUAAUUUCGUUUCUGAUAAUGGUCUGCAAAUGCGCCAAGCAGAAGCAGUGACUCGGCUUGCAUCACUAGCGCAAAGUAGCAUUUUGCGUUUUGGCUUCACCAAUUACAGAAUGUAGUAAGCUUCUCUGUACUUGGGAGAAAGUUCAGACCGGUUUUUGUUAUCGAUAAUUAUGCUUUUCAUUCAAUGGCUUGAAAAAAUUCAUGGUCUUUUAUAGAUGUUUUUCGUCUUGUGCUUGCUGAAAAUGCAAUUAUGAGGCAUAUGUUUCUUCAGCCAUCUGAUGGAAGUUCUUUGAACCAACUGCAGGGAAUUAACAUUCUUUUGAGUGGUGAGGAGCACUACCUAGGACGUGGCGUUGAGGACCGCUUCCAGAUUUCUGAUCCACAAAUAAGUACAAGGCAUUGCCGGAUAUACAAGGACACUGUGUUGGGGGAGCUGAACCGCCAUGAGCCUGUCCCUGUUUUCAUCAAGGACACAAGGUUUCUCUUCUUCUGGAUCUUUCCGUAUCUGUCAGUUUCGUUUCCUUUUCUUUCUUUUGUUGAGCUAAUCUCUUGUGUUCCGCAGCUCGAAUGGCACUUACAUCAACUGGAAAAGGCUCAAGAAAAGUUCAUCCCCAGUCAAGCUUAAUCAUGGUGACGUUAUAUCAUUUAUAUCAGUUCACAAAGGUAAGAUUCUUUGCUCCUUCCAAUUUCAUUAGUCUGUACUGGGUUCACUAGGGGGUAGCUAUUCAUUUGCUAGUACCAUGUUAUCACUCUCUCUUGUGCUUGAUGUUGUAAAUCUUCAGUUCAACUGUAUGUUUUUUUUUAUUGAACAAGUUCAACUGUAUGUUGCUUUUGCAGAUUCUUCGUAUUCAUUUGUCUACCGUGAAGUUAAUGCAAUCAGUUGCGUAGAGAAUGGGGCUACCAUUCUCAAAAGGAAGUCAGGUGAGGAGUUUUGCUUUCUUAUCGUUUGGUGAUCACGACUAUGUUGCGAGUUUUGUUGGUUGUCUUCUGGUUUGGUGAUCAUGACUAUUGUUACAAGUUUUGAUAUAUACUUACCACUAUUUUUGUUUGAUCUUGAAGAGGAGGGUGGUUCUGGAAGCAAGAGGCUAAAGGGUCUUGGUAUUGGUUCUCUUGAUGGUCCUGUUUCACUCGAUGAUGUCCGGAGACUAGAAAAAUCUAAUGCCGUAAGUUGGCUCCUUCAGUACGACAGUAGCUUCGUGUCCUGGAGAUUUGCUAACCUUUCUAGCUUAAACUGACGCAGGAUCUCAGGGAACAACUUGAAGCACAUGUUGUGACAAUCGAGACUUUGAGAACUGAAAUAAAAGUGGCCCAAGCGCAGCAUGGAAAGGUAUACGUUACUUUCAUGAAGUGUUUGUAUUUUGCCUUUUUUUCAGUGCUAUGUUCCUCCUAGCAUAAAUAAUUUUGCUCUUGCACUUCAGGCCCAGUAUCACUUCUAAAUUCUAGUGUUUAUCAAAUCUACUCCCUCCAUCCCAAAUUGUAGGUUGUUUUGACAUUUCUAGAUUCAAUGAUUUUACUAUGUAUCUAGACAUAAUAUAUAUUUAGAUGCAUAGCAAAAACUAUAACUUAGAAAUGCCAAAAUUUGGGAUGGAGGUUGUACUUGCCUCUGAUGUUCCUCUAUUGCUUGUUAAAAUUUCCUACAUAAUUAUCAAUAAUUGAUAAAGUAAUCUUAUAUUUAUUGAAGUUUAUACCUAUUUAUCCGGGAUGGGGAAUAUUCACUCCUCUGUUAAAAUUUCCCUUUUGCCAUCAAAGAUCAGGUUUCUACUUGAAGAUUGUACUCAUCAUUGUCUUAUUGCCUUUAUUUGUAACUAAGCUUUUGCAAAUCCGAUGAUGUAGGAACUUGAGGAGCUGAGAGAAACUACAUCAACUUCUUAUCUUGAUCAAACUAAAUCUCUCCGGUUAGCACUUGAGGAGAAACAAAAGCAACUUGAUUCACUCAGUACAUCAAAUACAGAGUUACAGAAUUCCAUUAAAGACCUGGAUGAAAGGCUUAGUGCAUCUAAGCAAUCACGUGCCGAUGCUGGUGAGAUAAUUUCGAGGUAUUCUGCAUUGCCGUGAUAUAAAUUUCUUACCGUUUGACAACAAUUCAAAGAACUCUGUUAAUCUCUUUCGAUGCUUCAUUUACUAUUACAUGAGGAUCUCAUAUAUCUGAGAUUUGCAAUGUUUCCAGCCAGAAAGCAAUUAUAUGUGAGCUUGAGGGACAGCUAAGUGAGGAGCGUAACUUAAGAAGAGAGGAGCGUGAUAAGGCUGUGCAGGACAUGAAAUCUGCAUUGCAUAAAGUGCAAGCUGAGGCUCAAGAAGAAAUUAAAAGACAGGCGGAGUCUUACCUUAGACAACAAAGGGAACAAAAAGAAGUUAUUGGCAAACUUCAGGUUAUACCUUUCUUCAAUUAAAAUCUGAUCUGGAAGUCAUGUCUUUUACAUCAUAUAUUGCAAUAACUCCGACUUCUGUUUCCAGGAAUCAGAAAAAGAAACCCGUUUGCUGGUGGAAACAUUGAGGUCCAAGCUGGUAUGCUAUUUCACAAUGAUUGCUUCAAAUUCUUUCAUUCCUUUGAUGCACCUCAAUUAUUUGUUCUCUGAUUCUCUCAUGCAGGAAGAUGCUCGAGAUAAUCUUGUAACAUCCGAGAAAAAAGUAAGAGAGCUGGAAGCUCGACUUCAAGAUGAGCAGCUAGUAUCGGCUAACAAUCAAAAGGUACCAAGCAGUGUGCAUGGUAGACUUAAGUAAUUAUCACAUCUAAGUAAAAUGUUUUUCAUUUGUUGUAUUUUAGCUGCUGAUAACAACUCAACCCCUUCUGCCCCCAUGCAAUUGCAGAAAUCAGAUAAUCUGGAAACUGAACUGAGGAAACUGAAGAAAGAACUUGAAAAUGAGAAGGUACAAGACAGUCAGAUGAGCUUAGAUAUUAGGUUGCUCUCCUUUACUUACAAGCUGACAACAUGUAUCCUUUUGUUAGCAGGCUGCUCGGGAAGAAGCAUGGGCGAAGGUUUCAGCUCUUGAGCUUGAAAUAGCUGCAACAAUUAGAGAUCUAUCAAUUGAGAAACAGAGGUAUCAAGGAGCUAGAGAACGAAUUAUUUUACGGUAAAAAUCCUGUUUCAGUUUUAUAUAGACACAAUAAAUCCCAAGUGUGUGCACUACACGUUAUGUAUAAUCCUUUGUAUCCCCCCCGUAUAUUGCUUAUUGCAGAGAGACUCAGCUGCGUGCUUUCUAUUCAACUACAGAAGAAAUCUCUUCUCUGUUUGCAAAACAGCAGGAGCAGCUGAAAGCUAUGCAGAGAACUUUGGAGGAUGAAGAGAACUAUGAGAAUACCUUAAUGAGUGUUGAUCUCAAUAAAGUUCCAUUGGCCACUGAUGAUGCCCAUAUGAAAUCAGUAGGGUGCUCAAAAAAUACAGUGGAAGCUCCAAGUGCGUCAACACAGAAUACCCAAGUAAGUGAACAUAGUUCUAGUGAUGAAGAUGCCAACAUGACUGAGCAGCAUGCUGGUGGUACUGCUGAAGGUGGCAGCACUCAAGGUCUAGAGUGCUCUAGUCCAGAAAGGUCAGAGGAUAGAUUAAGGUCUGAUUUUCACGGAAAUCCUGUUCCUACAGCUCCUGAGAGGGAGGUAACAGAUACUGAGCAAGUUCCUGAGACAGAAAGUCAAGCUGGUAAUGUUGGUUGCGAUGACCAAAGAUGUGACAAUAUGGGAGAGACUAUGCCGCUUGAAGAUGAAGCGCAGCCUCAAGAAAAUGAGGAAGCUAAAGAUGGGGACCAGCCACAUGCAAAUGAGGAUCCUGUUCCAAUCCCCAAAGAUGGCAUUGGCCACUGUUCUGAAGAUAAACUUGAGUAUGAUUGCUCCGAGAGCAAACGGGAGGAUGCUCAUGCUGGAGCUAUUGGAACAGCUGAUCUGUUGACCUCAGAAGUUGCUGGAAGCUGGGCAGUGGAAACAGCUCCAUCUGUCAAUGGUGAAAACGAAUCGCCUAGGAGCGUGGAAGAUGCUGGUGAUGCCGUGGGGCAGGAUGAGGAAGAUGGUGGUAGCAUGGCGGCGGAUGCUUUGCUAACUCUGGUGAACUCGGAGGGCCAAGCGGCUGGGAGUCAGAAUAAUGCUGAACAUGCCGUUUCCAAAAUAACUGACCACCAUCGUGUCCUUAGUGCCAUGAUUGAAAUUGUUGAUCCUGAAUUCAAAAAACAAAUGUCUAGAAGUGGCGGUGGAAAUGAUGAACCAAUGUCUGAUGCCGAGACGGAUGAAGGCAGCGAGGAAGUUGAUACAGAUGAUGACAGCGAGGAGCCUAUGGUUGAGGAUUCUGUUGGGUAGGUUAAAAGGAGUCGACUUUCCUUGUGAAUAGUUAGAACUUUUUAUUCCUGUACUUUUCGCAUGUGAGGUUGUACCAUGGUGUUGCAUGUAUGCAUUUUAUUUUCCAUUUCUUUCUAAUUUAUAUAUAUAUAUAUAUAUAUAUAUAUAUAUAUAUAUAUAUAUAUAUAUAUAUAUAUAUAUAUAUGUAUAUGUUGAUACCAAGUGAAGUGUCAUGUUUGGCGCAGAUGGUUUCUCUUGGCAUAUCGAGAUUAACUAUGGGAUCUGCUUUUCCAUUUUUAAUUUAGCAAUAAAUAUGUAAUAACAAAGUUCAUAAAAGAUAUGUUGCCAUCUUGAAACUGCAAACAGCAAAUGCAAUCAAAAUACUCCCUCCAUCCUAAAUUAUAGGUCGUUUUGAUUUUUCUAGAUGCAUAAAUAUUAUUAUGCAUCUAGAUAAGGUAUAUUUAAAUGCAUAACAAAGUCUGCAUAUUUGCAUACUCUGGUACUCAGGUACCAAGUUGCAGAAAACAUCAACAACGAGAGAUAUAGUAGUACAAAAGAAUAUGAAUCAGCUACAAUUUGAUCAGUUUGGUAACUCAAACAAAAGAUGUAUCAUCCAAAGAAUAAAUAAACAUAGAGGGGUACAAGCAGGUUCAUCACCUGGAAAAAUACACGGUGAUUAUUAACGACAUUUUAAAACCAAUGAGUUAGGAAAUCAAAUGCUUUCAGUUCAUCUAGACCGACAUUCCUUUUGUUUUUCCCAUGAAGCAGUCGGCAAUGCCUCAGAGUUCAUUCCUUCGAUUCAUGGUUCUUCCCUACGCCGUUCUGCUGUGCCUGCUGCAGCUGGUAAAACGGGAUCGGCGUAGCCUGCUGCUGAUGCAGUUGGAACAUCUGGUCCUGAGCAUUGAGUUGAAGCUGCUGGGCUAGAUUGUUGGACGAGCAAGAAUCGCCGAGCUCUGCAGUCGCGAGUUUCAGGCGCUGGACCUCGGCUGUCAGUGCCUCAUUCAGUGCUGUUCAAGAAGAAAAUAAAAUAUGAUUAUUAACCUCCAAAAAAUAGAAGAAUUGGCACAUAACUACCAUGUUGCUACCAACUAGACUCUAGCUGACAUAAGUUCCCAGAAAGCACAUGCUGCCAUGCUGAUAUGUUAGCAUGUCUGUGCCUGCUGCAUUUUUUUUAAAGUGCAUAUACUCCUAAAUUAUACUCCCUCCGUCCAAAUUAUAAGUCGUUCUAAUUUUUUUGAGAGUCAAAUUAUUUUUAUGUUUGACCAAAAUUAUAAAGAAGAUCAUAUAGGUUUAUAGCACCGAAUAGGUAUAUUAUUAAAAUAUAUUUAAUGAAGAAAACUAAUAGUACUUAUUUGAUAUCUACUUUAUUAUAUAAAUUGAGUCAAACUUGAGAUGAUUUAACUCUCUAAAAAAGUUGGAAUGACUUAUAAUUUGGAACAGUAGACACUAAGCAAGGGUGCAAGAUUAAACAAAACACAAGCAAAUCUUGGUCCUCUGAUGAUGGCUAGCACAUCUUCCUAGACACAACUAGUAGGAGUAGUACAUGCUAACGACUACCGGUAUUGCUCGAGGGAUUGUAUAGAAAAUCCAACCACCAAGGCACCAACUACCAACCCGGCCACCUCCAAAUGCCAACACGAGCUCACCCGCAAUUUCAGAGCCGUGGGCACACGAACUGGGACAAGCCAACAUGUCAACGUCGACUUCAAUGGGAUAAUAGUUUCUUCUGCUAACUUAUCCAAGACUAUAGUGCCUAGCACAUCGGACGUUGACGGGCACAGCAAGGAACAAGGAGGCAUGGAGAGGUGAGUGAGAUCAGGAGACGACGCACCGUCGCGCAGCUGCGCCUGCUGCUCCAUGGCCUGCAGCCGGAACUUGAGCUCGUUGUUCUGCGUCGCGAUCCCCGCCGAGUCGCGCUGCGAGAAAUGUUCAAGAACUGUGUCAAUCUCACGAAGUGAAUCACUUGAAAGUGAUAGAGGAGAAAUGGACCAGAGAACGCGAGAGGAAUUAGAGCAAGGUACCUGGAGAAGAGUGAGCUGAGCGGAGAGAGUCGUGGCUUCUGUUUGCAGGAUCUGCACCUUCUGCUCCAGCUCCGCAAUGUAGCGCAUCUUCCGCUCCUUGGACCGCGCCGCCGACUGCCUGUUCGCCAGCACCCUACGAAUGAACGAUCACGCAACAACACACAGCUCGAAUCGAUCAGUCCAACCAUUUCACAGUAACACAUUGUAAUCACGAAGCAUUUUGCAAGCUUGAUCGAUCCUAAGGACCAAUAAUGGAGCGGAAGAGCUCAAGAAUUUGAGAUGAAUGGCAUCAAGUAGCAGUAGUAGUAAUUACCUCUUGACGCGCUUGGGGUCGGCGAGGGCCAUCUCGGCGAGCUUCUCGUCGGCCAUGAUCUUCUUCAUCUCGACGGGUGUGAACUCGCCGCUACCGAACUCGAGGCUGAACCUGUUGGGCCCCGGCAUGACGCCGUUGGCCGCCGCGCCGGCGGAGAAGUUGAGCUUCCCGAUGAGGCUGUCCAUGGACAGGCUCCUAGCGUGGCGCGCCAUGGGCGCGGCGGCCGCCGCCGGGUCCCCCGCGGCGCUCCUCUUGAGCCCCUCCCGCCUGUCGCCGGCGGCGCUGGCAUCGCCCCAGAGUCGGAUCCCGGCCGCGCGGCUGUCGGCGGCGCACUCCUCCGACUCGUUCUCGCUGCUGUCGGCGCCGUUGGUCUUCAUGCUGCUCCCGCGGCUGUCCCCGUCGUCGUGGCGCUCGUCGGAGGAGUUGAGCCCGUCCAGCCCCUCCAGGUUGAGGUACGCGUUGAAGAGGUCGUCCGCGUCACCGCCGCCGCCAACGCCGUGGUGGCUCCAGCCGGCCUCCACCUUGGGCGGCGGGAGGUGGGACGUCGCCGGCGGGAAGUACCCGAACGGGACGUCGCUGCGGGAGCGGCGGUGCGCCUUGUUACUGCGCGCCGCGGGGUCGAUGUCCAUGCACACGUCCCCCGGCGAGGGCCGAUGCCCGGCGAACGACGCCGGGGGUGGCGUUGGCGGUAGACCCGGCGGCCUCGGCUUGGCGCUGGCCGCGUCGGGCGCGAAGGACGACGUCGCCAUCGGCAGCGACACCCCCAGCUGCUGCUGCACGUGCUGCUGCAUCAUCAUCGCGGCCGCGUGCGGGUCGCCGACGAUGCCGUUCAUGCUCGGCCUCGGCGCGGGCGGCACGCGGUCGAGGGAUCCCGAGGUCUCCACGGAAGGAGUAGGACAGACGGACGGGCGAGCGAGGCGGCGUCGGCGGUGCAGACGCCGCGACGACGCAGGGCGGCGGCGGUGGAAUCGAAUGGGAAUGGAAUGCGCGGUGUUUGGGUCGGGCGGGCGCUUUUAAGGGUGUAUUUAAUCGCCGUUUGGUGACGAUCGAUGUCUGUGACUGAGCGCGAGGUGGUGUGGUGGGGGGAUGCCGCUGCUCCUCCUCCUCCGUGUGCGGUGGGGUUGCCUUUGCCGUGCCCUGCCGCUCCCUAUUUCAUCCAUCUUGGCGUUGGCAUGGCAUCCCCCGUUUUGUUUGGCUUGGUCUCGGCUCCUUGCUUAGUACCUUGGUGCGCUCGCCUGCGCCUCGCUACGCGCCACUCCUCAGCAUGCGUAUCGACCUCGUACAGGGGCCGGCCGCGCGCGCGGUGUGGGGGCGGCGGCGGCCUGCUGCCUUGGCUUGCCUCGCAGCACAGUCAAGACAAGCAUUCAUGUGGGUUUGAACAAAGCUCUGUGCGAGUUUGGCUGUACGAACACAGCAACGGACGGCCGCUGGUUCACUCUCGCUGCUGGUCUGUGUUUGGGGGUGUGCCAGCUGGGACCUGAUCGAUAGCUUCCUCUGCUGCCUUGGUCGGAAGAUGCUGUUACGGCAUUUUGCCUGUGCAGAUGGUUGGAUCCAGCGUGCCGAUUAUUCUGUCAUCCUGGUGAUAAAAAGUCGCAUGCGAACUUGCCGUUUGAGCAGUAUGAACUGUAACACAACGCAAUGCAUAGGAUACGAGCCGGCUAUGCUAGUAGUGGAGUUACGUUAUGCAUGCUUCACAAGAUUAUUAGCCUGGUUCAAUGCACCAAUAGUAACAACCUCACUGCGAGCUGGAACCGGCUCUCAUGCAUUGUACGAGCAGAAAAAAGAUGGUAAAGUUCGUCCCUUCUCUGCGUGAUCGUCGGAUCCAACGGCUCUCAUAAAUCACUGUCUGUGCAAAUGUGACCAUGCAUGGUUUUAAGUACAUCGGUGCAUCAGUGACAGGAGACACGCUCACUGUUCAAUCGGAGAUUGUACGCUCGUGAGCUUCAUUACGCAGUGAGUAUUUACUAAUGUAUGAGCUCACUUUACUAUAAUUUAAAAAAGGUUGGUUUUGCAAAAGGUUAUGAUUGCCAAUCCCCUGGAUCUUCCAGAAAAAGUGAUCGAUACGCAUACAAAGCAAUGCUGCUUGAAAUUAAAGUUUAGUUGCAUGAUCAUUUUCUUUGGUUCGCAACUGCAGGUCAUGUGCAUUAAUGCCGAUACGGGGCCUUUCCGCUUUAGCUUUCUCGAUCGAAGUAUCAGGUCCUUUUGUUCGAUUCCCAAAGAUCGCUGAGGUCUGAGGAGUGAGGGCAGGUCGUCUGAAGAAGGCACAAAUUCUCCUAAACUUUGCAGGUCCCGCUGGUAGCUCGCAGCAGUAUUCAUACUUUGAAUGACUGCAUGCACAGACACAGACACGAAUGAAGGCGGUUGCAUCUGGCUGUUUUUCUUGGCCGACAAGUUAAAGCCACGCCGCUGCUGAGCUGUGCUACAUGCAGAGAAGUACAACGACACAUCACGUGCGCUGCCACUGCCACUGCCACUGCCAUGUCACCGUGUGUAAUGCAAAUGCAGCGCAUUAGACUCGAGCCACGCAGAGAGACUAGCAGUAUGGCUAGGUUAGGCUAGGGUCAGCACAGGCAAUUGCCGGUUGCAGCAGCCGCGGCGGUGCCACAUGCGCGGCAGACGGGCGGAGCCACACGGUUUCUCUGAUCACGGUUGGAAUGGGAAAGCCAAGCCAAGCCAAGAAAGCAAGACUUCUCCUCCAGAAACUAAACAAAAGCGGCUUUCUGGGGGGAGAGAAACCGUGUGGGGACCAGCCGGGUCAUGGAGCGGGCCCCGCGUGGCAGCAUGAUUCCUGGCGAGGUGGCGUCUGGCGAGUGCUCCUGCCCCGGCACAUGGCGGGGUCGGUCCAUCCCGGCCGUCCGUGGCGAGGGAGUCGGCGACACGACUCGAUGACGUCUCCGUCCCCAACGGAAGGCAAGUCGUGAGCGGGUGAAUAUUCUAUGGCGGGGUGGACGGGGAGAGACUGCCACUUUUGCGAAGACGUGCGCGCCGUGCCGUGCGUCGAGGGCCCCUCCCCCGCUUUGGCUCGUCUCCACUUGUCCGGCUCGGCAGGCACAUCGCAAUGCUAAACGGACGACGGACCCGGGCGGCCAUCCUUAUGGGUCUACAAAGGUCAAUGGACCGCCCAACUAUACGGGCAAUGUAUGCAACGACAGGCACGGCGAUUGUCAAUUUGUCAUACGACAAGGAACGAUGCAUGCUACUCGUAGUACACAUAUGCAAUAUAAUGCUGUCAUAAGCAAGUGACCUGUUCGCUUCAGCUUAUAAGCCGGCUGAAAAGUUAAAACGACUGAUUUAUUGUGAGAGGAAAAUACUAUUUGGUAGCUGAUAAGCCAGCUGAAUAAGCUGAAGCGAACAAGCCGAAGGUUGCCGAGUAUACGAUCGAUGCUGCAGCUGGUGGAUCGAGGAGUAGCCAGGAACAACGCUGCAGUUGAUGUACCCCGGACGGCCUGGCCGGACCACACAAGGUGCACGGGGGAUACCAGGAACGGAAGCGUACGGCGCCCGGCUCACGUGGCGGCCAGGGCGUACGGCGGCAUCGGCGUCCUCGUGACAGGCCUUCAUUUGGCAUGUACGACACCUACGACUAUGGCUCGCUCGUGAGUCGUGACGGAUGCUCUGUGAUCCUUGCUACAUGCGCGUCACGUCAUCAUGUAAGAAAUUUGUAUGACAUGGGAUGCGGCUUCUUCGGCGUACAUCCUGAUUGACAGUGAUGGUAGUAACUUUGCGUCGUCGGUGAUGCGGAUACUGAUCGCGCACAUCGUGCCCCAACCAUGGCUACAGCGUGCCAUGCAGCGUAGCUUCGACAUGCGUGUUUUACUGCAUCGAUUGAUCCCGUUCACUCGUUCAGGCAUGCCAAUUGCCAACGCGUAGCUGCAGAAUUUUCCAUCAGCUCCGUUCGUUUCUUUACUCCGAAAAACUAGCUCAUACGUGUGUAGGUGCUUAAAGUUACCACAGGUUUGGAAAUUACUGCUGGCUGACUAUCUCCCUGCUUUUCUGAAAACUUGACAAUCUCCCUGCUCAAAACCCUUCUUCUGAGAUCAUCUGGGACACUGGGGGUACUAUUUCUUUGCCCCCAUCAAAGAAUUAAACAGAAAAAUGCUACACGUGCUUUCAAGGAAAGUGGGCUUAAUCUAGGCCCAGUAGUAUAUUUCUGGGAAGAAGAAGAAGAAAAAAGCGGGACAUGGACAGCCCAUUCGGGCCCAUAAGGAAACGCACAUUCCCGUAGGGAAAGAAGAAGCUAAAGGCCCAUCAUUCUUAGUCUGCAAUUUUACCUCUACAGUGACACUUGUACACCCAUCACACGUAUGCAUUUUGCACAUCUUUUUUUUUGUGUGUGCGCACCAUAGCAGUGAAUCACUCAAGGAGUCAAGACUAUCCUCCGCAAUGAGUGAACAGUAAAAGGAUCAUAGUAAAGCGCAGCACAUAGGUCAAUGCAGAAAUCAGAACGCUCGCGUCACAGGGAACAAUAAUUACCGGAUAGAAGAGUCAGAGAGACGAAAGGUAGCUAGCUACUACCUGCUCGCAAUUCAACCAGGGCAUGCAGGAGCGAUCGAUCGCAGGAGCAACCCGGAGUGGGCUGCAAUGGAGAGGCUACGGCUACCCGCAUCUGCUUUUAACAGACCCGUCUUUUCACCAAAGAACGAAGCCGUGUGUUGCCGCCUGUGUGAAUGCAUGGAGAGAUCAUAGACCUACGAGAACCAGAAAAGGUAGGAGGAAGCAGCUGUAAAAAUCAGUACAUGUAAGAAAGGAUUGGUUGCAUGAGUUGAAAACCAGCUAGUAGUUACGGCAGAUGAAUGAUUCACACUCAUGCAGAUCGGCCGGCCGGCUUCCGUGCAGACGCGCAGAUCAGUCUGCACUCUCCUCACCACCGAUCCACAGCUGCAUGCGCGGAAAUGAUAUGUAGAGCGGACGUCUCCGACGCGGAGGAGCGUCGGAAAGUGCUCGUGUGCGUGCCUGCCAUGGCCAGAGCCCAGAAACCUGAAUUUUGCAGUAGCCUGCUUCCAGAGAUCAAGGCCACCGACCGGCCAACAAUUGCAAGUGCCUGUACAUCGCAGUCACAGGUCUCACUGCAGCCAUACUUCAUGAUCACACCUCUCAAUUCAAUGGCAGUGUAUUACAUCUUGCCGGUAUGUUUCAAUGUUUUUUUGUGUGAUUACGUUGUUCAUCAUCUCAUCUGCUGAUCGAAAGUUAGUGAGCCGAUCAGCUGUAGUAUGUUGUUGUGAAUGCACUACUAAACUGUACGGAAUGAGCGAUCCACUUAUCUGCCAUUAGGCCAAAUCAGCUUAGAGAAACUUUGUUCCAACUUCCAAGCCACUCGAGGAGGAGCAAAGCUAGCUGCUACCGUCGUGUACUUGCCUGUGCCACAUCAUUUCGUCUCUUUAGUCUGUUCGUCGUCAUGAGCUAGAGAGAAUUUCGAUGGAGGGAUCGAUCAUGCCGCCGGUCAUUAGUCCACGAGAUCCAUCGAUGGCACACGCAUGCAAAUCGAGGGGCUGCGCCACUGCCUAUAGUAUAUACAUGCAGCAUGAUUCAGGGAAGAAGGUUGUUCAGGCCAUCAAGAACCUGUCGAAUCGAUCGGUGAUGGCGAUUCAUAACACAUUGCUUUUCUACUUCUACAAAUAUAUAUUCAGUAAUUGGAAGAACUGGUUCCUUGCUUCAUCAGUCGAUCGAUCUGAAUCUGACUAGCGCGCGUGCGUCAGUGCGUGCGUGCGUGCAUGAAGCAAGCAUUGACAUGGCGAUGGUCGUCUGGCAACUGAUUGCGAUGCUUGAGCGAGCUUUCUUCGAGGCAACCAUGGCGCGCGCUCCGAUCCAUACCCUGGAACGGAAUGGAGUGGCAGCGGGCAAUGAUAGCAUGGGAUGGAAUGGAUGGAUCGAGAGGCCAUGCAGCAUGCAGAGACACAGCAUGUACAGCGCGAAUGUAUGAGAGGAAGAAGGAAGAAAGGAAAGGAAAGGAAGAAGGGAUCGAAGAAGAAGCUUGAUGCUCACAUCACAUGUAUCAAAAGUGGCAAGAGUGUGCCGCAAGUAUCUAUCCGAUACAUCUAUCCCAUCUCUAUCUCUAUCUCCCUACCCUACAUCACCUACACUUUUUUGCGCUUUUUCGAUGACCGGCCGGUAGCCCAACGUGUUGGGGGGUCCCUUUCAUUCGCCUCACCAAACUCCAUCGCCUCCUCUUCAUCCACGACGGCCAAAACAAUAGUAACCCGUGUAGCUAGCAACCUAUGGUCUCUCCCUGACGGCUCGUUUGCUGGUCGAUCACUUGGUCAUUCAUCUGAUCCCUUGCCGUUCAAUCACCUGGAUCUCCACUAGCUAGCUGCCAUUAAACUACGAGUUCAGGCCUGCAUUUUUUUUUUUGGCUCUCUUAUGUGUGCACAUCAACGCCUACUUACAAACACUAGUUAUAUCAGCAUUGUAGCUAGCGUGCCGCCAAAUUAAUCAGUUGUGCAGGGCUGCCGGCAGCCACUAUUGAGCCAAAGAAAAAAAAAUCUAGUAGCUCAGUUGAUGCUCGAGCAGUAGCAGAACAUUUUGAGCACGUUACACUGUCAACAAUUAUAAAGCACGCACGGCAUGUCCAGCUUUUUACAACGGGAAGGAAAGGGAAAACAGGCUUUUCCUUGAAGGGGAGCUGAGUGAUCGAUCGAGCAUAGUAUAACACAUGCAAUGUACUGUUGUUACUGUCAUGCUUAUGUAUAGGCUUUACUGUGGCGGCAUGCAUGCUCGCCUGGCUAGCUAGGCUUUUUGCCGCUUACGCCAAGGAUGCCGGAUCUCUCGAUCCCAACACAUGUUACCAUAUGCGAGCUGUUUGCGCAUGUCUUUUCCUCACCAAACGAAAACGACUUGUUGCAGGGGACACACACAGAACCAGCUGCUGGCUGUCAGUUUCCGAGAUCGAGGAGGCCGGCCGGGGACGGUCGCGCGGCCCGGGUCUAUCCAUGCAUGCUUGAUGCCGCCCGGCCGGCCGGCGGCCGGCCGAGUGUGGAUUGUGCCAAGCAACGCAACUUGCAUGGCGGCCGGCCGGGUGUGGCACGUUGGUUGGAUUGCGGCCGCCGAUGCGGGGAGGGCGCAACGCGUAGGGCGGAUAGGCGGGGGCGGGCACGGCGGCGGUGGUGGUGGGCGGCGGGGCCUGCGCGUCGCGCACGGCACACACAGUUCGUUGGGGGUCGGGGUCUGGUUAAUGAUGCCGUGAGCGCUCAUGAUUGGGCAGGCGGAUGGGCCGGCUAAUCCCCCACGGGGCUCUUUCGGUCCGACCCCGGCCGAGCGGGCGCGGGCAUGCAAGGGAGGAUCGAUGGUGGAAUGGAUGGGCGGCGGCCGGCGAGCGACGGUCCGUCCCCAUCCGAUCCGCACUGCACCGCCCCACUUUGCUGCUUGCCGGAUACGAGCGUGAUUCUACUCGCGUUCACUCCUGCCCUGCUGUGCUCUCUCGUUUCUGUUUCUGACUGACUUCGCUAAUUCCCUCAUCUGCAUGUAUUUGCCUGUUUAGGUAAGCAUGUCACUAGCUGUAUGGAUGCAUGAAUGCUGUCCAAAUUGAUUGGGCUUGUAUGUAUAUGUCAACUUUUGUCUUAUGCUAGGUACCGUUGCAUUUCGAUUUUUCAUUAAAAAAAGGAUUCCUUUUCGAUUCUAGAACAUCUUUAAUUUGUCAAAAGAUUGCCACCGGGCGGUAACUAACAUGUGACAGUGAAACUUUGCAUAUUUUUAGGGCAAACCAACUUUUUACGGAUGGUUAAGUAACUACAAGUAGGCUAUAAUCAUAGUAGAUCGAAAGUGUAGUAGUAAAGUAACUCUGAUACUGACAGCGACGGUUAGCCAAUCCUUACGGUGAGUUGGUAACUGCCGCCGCAGGAUAUACACUGUCUCGGCGGUCAGUUAACUACAACUAAGCAAAGGUAAACUAAAACUCAAACAUCAUCUCACAGAGAUACGCACGGCACCGCCGUGCGUGCCGGCCCACCAAUGAAAGCAAACCACCGCAAAGCGAGAGGGCGAGCCGAUCACGAUCAGCUAGCUAGCCCCACAAGACAUGCAUGCUCACACAUCACUCGAGUACUGUUUCCGGAAUGCAUGCCAUAGUGUUUACGGCUUUUCCAUCGAUGAUCCAUGUAUCUUUCAUGCACGCAUAUCUCCUCCCUCUUGGCCUCCAGCUGCGAUCAAGUACCGAUCGAAAGAGAUCCAAGUUAUUACAGCAGAAAAAAAAACAGCAUCCAUUGCAGGCAGUGCUCGUCACAUCACCGGAAAAGUACGCUCCAUCCGAAAGUUCUUUCUGAUCCGCUUUUGACUUUGCUGCCCUCGCCGGUCCCGGCCCAGAGUUUCUAGAGAGGCAUAUGCAGCAAUCAGGCUAAAGGCAUACCUGAAUGCUUGCCGGAAGGCCGAGAGCUACAUCGUUUCCAUGGAAAAAAUCUGGGCGCUUUUAGCGACAAGAAGGCAAAGAAACACUGUUUUGGCUACAUGAUUGAGCUUGCUUUCACCUUCGCUUUCUGAAUCUCUGCAUGAUCAUAUACUGAACAAGCUAGCGCGCGCUGUGGUUGCACCACAUGUCCGUCGUCCCCGGCCGUCGCGACGUCUGUGCCCGUUCCUUCCCUGACUGCAAGCUACUCAUCCUGCCAUGCCACAUGUAAACAUAACCGAUCGACUGUCAGAAGGUGCUCGUGCGCGAUGGCACAACAGGUUACAAGUGGAGAUCCUCGUAGCCCUAAACGCCGUCGAGUGCAAGGCCGCCGAUGUGCGUCCUAGCUGCUUCUGUGCUUGUACCUGGUGUAUCUUGUACGUAAAGCCUCUCGAUCGCCUCUCUGCCUCGUCGCCCUGACAGCGAUCGCCUGCAGCUACGUGUCGAGUUUCAGAGGCUGCCAUCGUUUCAGCUAAGCUGGUGAUAUGGUGGUGGUAGGGUCCUGGCGGCGCCCGAUCGAUCGGACAGCGCCCAAUUCAGCGUUGCAACUUGGCCUGCUGCGCCCCGUUUCUUCUCUCCGUCGAACACGUACGUCGAUCUGCAUCCGCUUUACGGUGCUCGUAUGUUCCUGCAUCAUAAUCAUAAAUACAAGUAUACUAUACUUGCUUGUAGCUAGAUUCAGAAAAAGAUGCAGAGAUAGCUUAAAGAAGGAGAUGUGUACUGGAUGGAAGCAGCUAGAGCUAGCUACCUAGUUCUAGAGGCCUCACUACCGGUUGGAGUAUAGCUACCAUGAUUAGUAUACACUAACCUGGAGAGGAGAGGACCAAUCAGUGGCCACGCACUGUAUUUUACACACCUGUACGGCACAAGCGUAACAGCUGCCCUAAGCUUAUCCUGUUAUUGUUAAGUGCCCUUUCGGGGAGAUGCCGUUACAUGCUUGGAGGACGAGAGGCCAAGUCAUCGAUCAUCGGCUGCGGCGGCCUUGCUUGACACACCAAGAACAUGGCGUGCCGUUACAGCUUUCCGAUCGGCCGGCUGGUCUGCUGUUCCUGUUAUUCCAUCGCAUGCAGAUCGAUUGAUGGGGAAGAGAAAUGAGAGAGAGAAGAACGCCACCAAGUGUGCAGCGACAGAUGGAAAAGCGCAGCGAUAUAUGGAAUAUGUGGUGAUCGGCUGCUGCGUACGGUGGCAGUCACAUGGACGAUGAAGCCUCAGACUUUGACAGGGAGAUUGCUAUAAGUUAUUAGUAUUCGUUUCGACUUUUCUAGAUGCAUAACUUUUGCUAUGCACCCACAUAUAUAUUAUAUCUAGACACGUAGCGAAUGCUAUGUAUCUAGAAAAACCAAAACGAAUAUCAUUUGAGGAAAAAACGGAUGGUCCAGAGAACAUGGUCUAGAUCAUAGAUAUGUUGAGCAAUAUGCUACUACUCUAGCUACUGCUACCGAUCGAUAGGGAAGUUGUUGUCAAGAAGUCCCUUAGUUCGUUCCAUCAGAACUUUUUUUUUGGCAUCAUACUGUGUACUUGGUAUUGAUCUGGAUCAGCAGGUUACUAAUGUCAUUGAGGCACAUUAAUUCCUAGUUAGUGGUUGAAUGAAGGGUCAUGCAGGAGGAGGCCAUGCAUUUGAAGAAGCACCGAAAUAUCUGCCCUAUGGAUCAAGCAGCAAAGAAGCACAAAGGGGAGACAUGCAUGAAAAGCGAGCAUGCAUCCGGCUGGCCCUGUUUCCUAAUGCCGCACCACUAAUCCUGCCCCAAAGAAAGAAAGAUGGAAAGAAGACGGCGGGUCUACCACACAGCACAGCCUGAAUUAACAACUGUUUAGCGAGCCUGAAGACUCUGAAAACGUGUCGCCCAGGGAGCAAAAGCGCAUUCAGUCAGGGAAUGUCGCGGUGACGGGGCAGGGCAGGUUCAAUUCCCUCGGGAUCAGCGCGCGUGAGAUUGCUCUUGAGCCUGCACGAUCAUUAGCAGCUACCUUAGCUGCCGCCUGCCGGUGCAGUGCAGGCCAUGGCCCCGGCUGAAUUGGCUUAGCUCAUCCCGUGUCUGUUUGACCUCCAUCCAUCUCAUCUCAUCUCAAAGCUGAUCGAUGAGGAACAAAAGGGGGGCCGGCGCCGGUAUGCGCGGAAUUAUUAUAGUCACUCGCCCGCGAGAAACAUGAUGCCGAGGCCAAGCAAAUUGCGCAACCGGCGGGGCCCUGUGUCCAUAAUCUUUUCCUAGCUAGCUAUCCCUUAGGUCUUUGAGGGUUCUGUUGCAUCUAGACACAUGUGUAUGGUCCCUAAACCAAAAAGGGCAUCAUUGUUUUCUUGCAGUGACGAUGCCAAUUGAAUACACAUAUCCUGAACUACCCCGGUUCAUGUUUCUCUAAGUACUAGUUUGUUAUUAGUCAAGUACACACCAAACACAUAAUUUUUUGCAGAGAGAAAAGACAACGUACAUGACUAGAAUAAGUUGUUCGAGGAGAAGAAAGAGGUGUGUGCUUUUCACAAACAGGCCGGGCACAGAAUUGCUAGGUAACAUCGCUGAUUUUUGCAACAAAUGUUGUACUAAUGAUUAAUGAACUCUUUCCGUUAAAAAGAAGGCAUUGAACUUGGUCCAAGAGAACUAAUUAAAAUCUGUCUCCUAGAAUUUUAGUCUCUGAAACAUGAAAAAAAAAGAAAGAAGAUAUGUACUAGUUCUGGAACUCUAGCCUUUGUGAAGUUGCAGAAAGGUAGGUUUUAUUACUGAAGAAAGGCACACCUUUGAACUUUCUUCGCUUUUGAACUUUCUUUGCUUGAACAAAAAGAAAAGAUCUAUAGAUAUAUGCGUGCCCUACCUUACCUUAAAGAAUUUUGACCAUCCUUAUUGCCUUUAUCAUCUAUAUAUAUGUGGUCUUGUUGAAUUAGAACACAUUUAUAAUGAUCAACAAUAAUCAACACUAGCUACUCCGUAGAUUUUCUUGACUCAGCUCAUGAUACCGUUAGUUAUAGUUGGAUUCUAGUGUAAAGUUGGUAAAGGCAUAUAGAAAGCUAUGGCACUGUUCAUAUUGACAAACUUUUACAAAUUCAAGUAAAUUGAAGAGGAUGAGGAAAAAAGGCUACACACAAAGCGCGCAAUUUAAUAUGUGAUUUUUUUUUCACUUUCACCACAUCAUUGUAAAUAUCUUUUCUUUGAUCAUGAGUUGAUCAGGAGCUAGCUAGCAAGCAAGCAAUGAGAACCGGAAUGAUGUGAGGGUUCCCAAAUUUGAUUCACUCUUAUCAAAGAAGAAUUUGUUGUUGCCCCUAACAGUGGUAGUAGGUGGCAUCAUACUUCGCACAACAUGUUUUGUAAUGCAUGCCUACGGCCCAGUGUUAUCGACAUCAUAAUUCCUCCUGAUCAUGCUUCUGGAAAUAUAAUCGAUUAAAUGCUAAUGGCUAAGGCUAACAUAUGCAAUUAGUCCCUCAUCAGUUUGGUGCAUGCUCUAAGGCUGACAGCACAAAUUUCUAGGUAGGACACAAAAUAAUAAUCACAAGGCCGAUUUGUAUUGCAUGACAACCAGAGAAGAAAAUUUCAAUCUCUCUGCCAAGUGAUGCGGCUGCCUGUUAUUAGCUAAUAACUUUAGGUCGGUAUGUGAUAUAUUUACAUCUGAUAAUAUAAUAAAAUUAACACCUUAAUUAAUAGAGUGAAAUUAAAUGCACUAGCUACAGGGUCCUCAGUUUUUUCUUAAACUCUCACCUAAGUCCGUAUAUAGAUUCUGAAAGUGAGGAUCCGGAUACUUCAAUUUUAAUUAAGUGGUUCGCUCCAAGUGAGAAUCGGGUCCGUAGUUUUAGACCUAGAUCGUGAACAACUCAACAAGAUUGGAUGGCCAAUGACAUGUAUCCUCAUUUUGAGAGUCUGUGAGCCUAAGCGAGAAUUCGGGAAAAGUUUAAGGACCCCAAGUGCAUUUAAUUUUUUCGCAUCUUUGCUUAAUUAAAAUGCAUCAAAUAAAUCAAAAUAUAAUUGCGGACCGAUUGAUCAGAAACCUAGCUAGUGCCAUGAUACCUGGACAACUGUACGGGGCCUGCAGCUCUCUACAGCCGAGUGCAUUUGUUCACCUGUCAUCCGGGCAGCAUGGUCCUAUACAAACAGCUGAAAGCACAGGGUGGUACCAUUUGUAAUACCAUAUGCACUUGAUUGCAACAAAACCAGACUUAGCCACAGAUGAAAAGCAUUUUUACAAUCAUGCAUCCAUGCCCCAUUUUUCCUGUGAAAGAAAAUGACGAAGAACCUAAAUAUAAUCACAGUCAUAAUUAAAGAUUAGUUAUAAACAGGUGUUUUAUGUUCUCUCUUGCAACAGGGUUAAAUCUAUGGACCUCAAUUAUUGCCAGUUCUUCAAAAAAGUUCGAGAGUCAUAGUUAAAUACCAUAGUUCACCGAUAUAUAGAUCAAGUAAUGAAAUCUGAAAUUAAGUAUAACAAUAGGCAGAACAAAGUACCAUCAUGCAUGCAUCUACGGAGCUCAAGCUCGAUGAUAUUCGGAGUAGCCCUAACUAGCUAGAUUAAACGUGGCUUGCAAGUAGCUAGCAAACUGGUGGCCGCUAACAGCUAAUUAGGCUUCGCUUUAGCAUGGCGAAGUCUGUCAGCAAGAUGCGAAGUAUAUGUCAGGCUCCAUUGAAGACAGGCUACUGCUAUCUAGGUUCUUUUGUUCUGUGAGACUGUACUGCAGCACAUGCAUGGACCAUGGAGAUCGAAGAGGCCAGAGCCAGAGAGAAAGAGGAAAGGGGAAGAAGAGUAGCAAAGAAGAAGAAGGCGUGAUGUCAUCAGCAGGGCCCACGUGGGCCCACAGGCCUUCAUUCCCCUCGCCCACGCGCGACGGAAAGGAGAGCGACCCCGUCCCUUUUUUAUACUCGCCACCUUCUCCCCCUCCUUUCUCCUUCAUUCUCUUCUAUACCUCUCCAGCACAAAGCUCUCCUCCUGAAGCUAUUUAUUCUUCCAAACACAAGCUAGCCAGCUUCCGAGAGAUCAAGAACACCUGCAUACACUCUUCCUCUGGCAAGAGCUCUGCGACUAACCGGUAUCGAUCAGUAGGUGAUCGAUCAUCGAAGGUGAGUUUCAAGGCUUGGAAUUCCUUGUACUGGUUAUGCAUGGUUUGGCUGAUCGAUCCGAUGAUGAGGCAUACGUUCAUGUUGAUGCGUUAGCUAGCUUGCCCGUUUAGUUUUGAUCUGGUUUUGUUUGAUCUUUUCUUUAAUUUCCUUCUGCUUGAAAUACUGUAACUGACAGCCGGUGUAUUUGAAUGAGAGAGAGGUGCCUUUUCUCCUCUACUUUUCCUCUUCACGAUCUCUUCAGUCUUCGAGAAUCCAGAGAUACACACCCAUCGGAGCCACAUUAACUUAUGUUACAUAUGGCGUGGUGUUGUAUAUCAUAUAUAUCUACAGAUCAAGGAGGCAUAUAUACAUCUUUGCCCCAUGAAUUGGUCCUCGUAGGAAUGGACAGAAAAAAAAAGUAAAGGGGUAGUAAGAGAAAAUACUUUGGUAAAAGUAACUACAGAUAUAUUUGUAUUUUUGGAAACAUUGAUUAAAAAUCAUAUUGUUAAAAUUGUUGAAUUUGCUUGUAGGCAUGCACACGUAUCCCUUUUACAAGCUAUAGUCAGAUGACAAAAUCAAUAUUGCUUAUCUUUACAUGCAUGUUUGCAUAUAGGAGUGCAUUCUGCUCCUUUUUUAUUUAAAAUAUUUUUUUCUUCAGCAUCCUGGUAUUACCUGCAUAAUAAGGAAAUGUAGUAAGGCCUUUUUAUGUGGUGGUGAAGCUAGCCAAAGUUUGUCUGUGAAAAUCAUCAGAACGUGUGUGAACGUCCUCCUGAUUGAGCCCAUGUACAAUCAUAUUUUCAUCUAUCUUCAGAAAACGCAUGAUGGAUAUGCUUAUAUCCGAAAAAAGCAUUUAGCAUGAUCAUACCUAUUCUUUAUCUGCUUUAUUUCACUUUUCGCAAAAAGAUAAAUGAAUGAUUAACUGCGAAUAAAAAUGUUUGUACAUUGCCAGCUGCACUUAGUUAGGUGGUCGAUCAAGCAUAAGUCUGAACUCUUAAUGUGGUUUUACUUGAAUCCAUAUUUUCUAGUGCUUCAGAAGAACGAUAGGUUUUGCAUAUACAUGAUUAUCUUGUGCAUAAUCUAAAGAUCUAUGCGUGACAUUAAUUUGAAAGUAAAAUGUGUGAUUUCAUUGCAUGUGUUUGGUACAAUAGGAAUGAUCGAUGCAGAAGGUAUCUGUAAACACAGCAUGUGUUUAUGAACCGAAAAAAUACAUAUAUAUGGGGGAGUACAAGUUAGCUAUAUACAGCCCAUUGGCCAUUGGGAAUCAAUUAACUGAAGCUUGUUCCUUCUGAGGCAUUCUAUACAUAGCUAUAGGACCACCAUCUCUCUCUCUCACACACACAUUGCAUCAUGUGUAAUAUAAAACCUUUUUGCUGAGGAUUUCAGCACCUAUAAGAUUGGUUCCAUCACUUCAUCUUUAUAUACUACCUUCAGCCAGAUUUAUCUUGUUUUUAUUAGGACAUGGGCACAAUCUCCUAUGCAAAACAUUCACCAUUAUUCUUUUGGCAAUAAGUUCAAAAAAUAAGUUAAAUUGCUACAGGUAGAUGACUUUUGAUUAAGAAUCCAUUAAUAUUACUUUUCAUGUGAGAAAUCUAAAAUGUUAGGGUAAAGUUCUAGGUGUGUAGUUAUGCUUAGAAUUGCCUGCCCUUUUGUUCAAAGACAUAACGUUACCAAAGGGAAUAUCAAUAGUUUUUAGCAAGACCUUUGAGGAACACAAGUAGGAUCUACACUAGUUUCUAGUCAUAGAAAUCUGCUGAGAGAAGAUAUAUAUGUGCAUUUUUUAUUCAGUUGUGGUGCUUUCACGGGCAUGUCAUGCAUCUCUUCUUAUCUCUAAUAUAAUAAACUCAAAUUUGUUAAUUUUUUAAAGAAUGAAGUCCCUAGUUCAUUUGUGCUUGGCUCAUAAGAUACCCCCUUCGAGGAUACUAUUUACAUAUUUUCUCUAGAAAUUGACAUGCAGUAUAAAUUCCUGCAUUUUAGAACAUGAACUAAUUAGGGGCCGUUUGGGAGGGCUUCUCCCAUAACGGCUUCACCAAUGAAGUCAAAGCCGGUGAAGCUAAAAAUAGUGGCUUCACCCAGCUUCUAAUUCAUUUUGGCCUCAGCUUACAAAAUGGCUUUACGCUACAGUGCAUUGUUUUGUGCAAAACUGGUGAAGUCGAAGCCAAAAUAAACUCUCCAAAACGGGGCCUUAAACAAAUAUGGUAGUUAUACAGUGAACAACCUUUUUUACUUAUGAUUUCUCUAGUGGGGCAGGAAAUAUGGAAGGAGAUCCACUAGUGAUGACUGAAUGGAAAGUUAUCUCCCCCUCUCAUGCAGUCAUAUGCAUGCAGCAGCAAGGCAUGCACUUGCACCCCACAAGAGGCCAAAGGGGGAACAUCAAAAAUGAUUUACUCCCCAUCACCCAUGGCUUGGACCUAGCUAGCUAGCUUCUCCUCUGCCCCCCUCCAUCCAUGAUCCAUCCUACACUACGGUGAGGUGCACUACAGACAGCAGCUGCCAUUCCUGCGUGCCCCAUGAGCCAGUCACACACAUUGCAUUGCUCCUCUCUCCCAGCAGGGCCGAGAAUGAAGGCCAUGUUUCUAUCUCUACUAGUAUGGUGGCACAGCAAAUAUAGGCUCAUGUAGGCAGGCCGCAAACGGGGUGGUCUCCUCCUGCUGUAGUGCUGUGCCAUGGAAUUCCUCGACAAAGAGACAACGCGGUCAGAGGCCGUGUGGGCCCGGCUGCUGCCUACCUUUUCCUCGUCUGUGCAUGCCUGCCUGCCUCCUGUUACUAGCUCUGUGACUGUGAGUGUUUGUGUUGCCUCGCGCGCCCGGCGGAGGCCUGAUCAGUAGCUUUAUUUGCAGGCCAGCCUGAUCCAAGAAAAGGGCCGCCCUUCCUCACGUUUCUAUUCUCUAUCUUUUUCUCCCAGCCCCACCCAUCUUAUCCAUGUUUUUUCUAACCACCACGACGACCGGCGGCGGCAGGCAUGCAAGCGCGUGCAUGAGCUAGCUCCCGGCCGCCCGGCAAAAACUAGCAAAUGCCAUCAGCUUUUGUUAUUUCUACUACUACAGCAUUUUGUGCAAAAGCUUUUGCUAGGCUUACCAUCAUCCAUCUCAAAAGAACAUGCAUUAUGGUCGAUCAGCAUGACAAGGGGAUCAUUAGCAGUUCCUAACUAACCUAUUAGCAAGUUCAGAACUAUUAUGUGCCCUAAUUAUAAUCUCUAGCUUCAGGCUCACAGAUUCUCGGCUGGACGUACACAUUGAAAUCACUUGCUCACUGACUGCAAGUUGCACCGGAGCGAGGCCUGGCCAGACCACGCAUCCUGCGGCUGCAGUGGCGCUAUGAUUCACUGCUCACCAUAGCCCACAUGCCCCCUGAUUCCACAGUCGACACCAUGAUUCGCAGGCCUGUAGCUUACCUACAUUUGUCCCUGUGCCCUGCCCCAGGCUUUGCCGUACCUUGUCCUAUAUCCUACUACAGUGCACAGUGCAGUCCCAACAGGCAUGGCUCAAGGCUGUUUGGCUGGACUGUAUUUUUCUAAAGCACUGAAACCCACACACACUACAACACUACUGCCUCUUCAGUCCAGUCUGUCUCUGUCUCUACAGCAGUACUGCAUGCCACACUCAUUCACUGUAAAAUACUCCUGCGAGCACUUGCUGUUCCUUCCCACUAUAAAGAAUGCAGGCUCGCUCCCAUCGAAUGAUGCGAGCACUUGCCGUCUUCUUUCUUUAUAUUAGGAGUAGAGCAUGCCACUCGCGAGCUAUAUCAUUUGCAUUGCAUUGGGUGGAUGGAUAUUUAGGGGCUGAGCGAGGCGACGCUGAAUCUGAUGCGCUCUCAUCCUCAGGUGCUGCUAGUGGUGGUGAUCAUAUGGACUCCAUGGAAUCAUGCGUGCCCCCUGGCUUCAGGUUCCACCCCACCGACGAGGAGCUCGUCGGCUACUACCUCAGGAAGAAGGUGGCCUCCCAGAAGAUCGACCUCGACGUCAUACGCGACAUCGAUCUCUACCGCAUCGAGCCCUGGGAUCUCCAAGGUAUACUACGUCAUGAUGCAUUAUGUGCUUGGAGUUAGCAAGCUCCCUUUUUGCUUGCAUUAUGGAAGCUGAUAUUAAUUCUGUGCCUAUAUUUUCCUGCAAAUUAAUGAAGAACAUUGCGGGAUCGGGUACGAGGAGCAGAACGAGUGGUACUUCUUCAGCUACAAGGACCGCAAGUACCCGACGGGGACAAGGACCAAUAGGGCCACCAUGGCCGGGUUCUGGAAGGCCACGGGGAGGGACAAGGCUGUGCACGACAAGAGCCGGCUCAUCGGCAUGAGGAAGACGCUCGUCUUCUACAAGGGCAGGGCGCCCAAUGGGCAGAAGACCGACUGGAUCAUGCACGAGUACCGGCUCGAGACCGACGAGAAUGCGCCGCCACAGGCAAGCUCCCCCUCAUGAUCUCCGUGAUGAUCUACGUUAAUUUACCCUCACAGCAUAGAUGCACUAACCACUAAGCAUACUCUUUUCUUUAUAUUCCACUACUCCAAAUUCACAAGUCAAAGAGUACUGGUGCAUUAUUAUUGCCUACAGUGGAUACUUCUCCACUUUCAAGCAGAUUAUAUUGCCCACAGUUGAUAUUCUUCUACGCUCACGACAUCUAAUAAUAACUUGAUUUUGGUUAAUAAGUUAUAACACAUCUUAAUUUAGUUACCAUCUUUGUUUAGCUUACUGCAACCACCUUGUUGAGUUCUUUACCUUAAUAUAAACAUGUGUAACGCAGCAGGAGAUUAGCAAUAUGUUAAAAGCUAAUGUCUCAAUUGUAGAGACCAAGAGAUCUCGCUCUAAAGUAGUGCGCAUAAAUGAAGCUAGUCCAAGAUGCACGCGUGCAUGUCUAACUCAUGCAGCACUACUGAUGGACAAUACAAUGCAUCAGUAGCAAAGCACCACAGAUGCUCCUCCUAUUGCUUUCUAGAUCUCACAAGAUAAGUCUCCCUUUUUGUGAGACUUGACCCUUGAAACUUCCAAACACUUCUACUCUUCUGACCUCACCACUAACAAAAACUUUUCCUAUAGAAAUGCAUGCGCAUGCAUGUUCUAGUUAGGGUUUACCAGUGUGAACGUUCUUGCACGCGCCAUUGUUUGCGAGCUGUAUGCAACUAGCUAGAUACUGCUUGUACUCAUCACAGUGCCGGUAAUGCUUCAGCACUCCACUAUCAACCAGUGGAGAUAGCCAGAUAGGCAAAGGCAAAUGGCCGGUUACCUUUUUUUUAACUCCUUUCACUGCUUUGAAAAUCUCACUUCACAUAUAACUAAAAUAAUUUUCAUCUUUCACUAUUUUGCAAAUCUCAUUUCACAUCUAAUUAACAAGAUGAUUUUCUUCUGUGCUGCAGGAAGAAGGCUGGGUGGUGUGCAGGGCGUUCAAGAAGAGGACAGCAUACCCGGCACGCAGCAUGGCGAUGGCAUGGGAGUCCAGCUACUCCUACCGCGAGGUCGGCGUCAUGGGCGCGGAGGCCGCAGAGGCGGCGGCGUUCGUGGAUCCCAACUCGGCUUACGCGCAGAUCAGGCGGCAGUCCAAGAGCGCGCGCUUCAAGCAGGAGGCCGAGCUCGACGGCGCCGCCGUGUUGCUGCAGUACUCCAGCCACCUGGUCGAGCUGCCGCAGCUCGAGAGCCCGUCGGCGCCGCUCGCGCCCAACCCAAGCCAAGCGUCGUCGGCCGAUGAGGUGGACGGCGCCGAAAGCGGCAGGCGGGGCAAGAAGGCGCGGGCCGACAAGGUAGCCACGGACUGGAGGGCGCUCGACAAGUUCGUCGCGUCGCAGCUCAGUCCCACGGAGUGCGGCGGCAGCUUGGAGGCGACGGCGCCGGCGGCCGCCAUGGCCAAUGUGGGCUUGGAGCACGGUGAGGAUGAUGACAUGGCGGCGUUGCUGUUCCUCAACAGCGACGGGAGGGAGGAGGCGGAGAGGUGGAAGGGGCUGCUCGGCCCCGCCGGCGGGGACGGCGACUUUGGACUCUGCGUGUUCGAGAAAUGAGUGGCGGGCGGCGGCGCGCCGUGCGCGUGCGCGUGUGCACGCUGCGGCGCGGAUGCAUGCAUAUGGGGAUGGUGCAUGUGAUAUAUUAUAUGGUUAUAGCUGAAAGUUAUUGGUGCUCCUUUUCCUUUCUUUUCUUCUACUUCCAUUUUGUAUGUUUCUGAUCAACAAAUGUGAUUGUAAUGUUCAUCUGUCUCUGUGCAGAGUCAUAAGAUGCAUGGCAUUCCGGCCGAUGUGAUUGUCUUUUGGUUGAUGUGACCUAACAUGCGUGUAGCACUUCUCGUUUGUCAAUGGCUUCGUCACCAGCUACGGCAUAGACAUAGUAUAGUAUCGUACACAAUAGUCUUCGCCAGGUACGUAGCUUGAAUACGUCGAGCAAGAAAAAAUGCUUAACAGUUUCAGUGCAUAUACAAUAAUCCGCAUUCUGAAUAGUAACAGUAUAGGUUCCAACCAUAAAACCAAAAAGGAAAACAACAGGCAAACCAAUAUAAUAGGGGAAAUAAUGGAACAACUUUUUUAAUUAAGAAAAUAUAUUUAUAUCUUGGAGGGAAAUGCAAUAGACUCCUUAAAAUUUUAUUGAUUCUGACUUACAGAUUCAUAGAGUCUGAAAAUGAGGACCGUGUCCUUAAUCUUUUCCAGUGGUUCAUCUCCAAGUGAGAAUAUAGGUUCUUAUAAACUUUUAAAAUGAGAGAGAAUCCAGAUUCUCACUGGAGUGAAUUACUAGCAGUUUAAUGACCCAUAUCCUUAGUUUAGUUUGUGGACCUAGUUAAGAAUCCAGACAGCACAUUUCACUCUUUAACUUGUCACCAUGGCUAAAGACAAGAUCUCUCAACUUAGAAGGCGAAAACAGUGUGUGGAAAGAGUACAAUAGUUGCAGUUCAGGAUUCCAUGCUCAAACUAUCCAUGAGCAAGUAUAACUGUGAAGAUUAUUCGUGUCAAGAGCGGAGCAGUAUUUGCCCCUGAUAGACAUUCCAAAUAUGGCAAUAUCGAUCUAUGGUCUUAAAUGAGUGCAGUUACAAACUUUGAACAACAUUUUUCAACAGAGAUAUCGUACAUGAUACAUGGCUCAAAGAUAGUCCAUAUGUUUUCUUAUGUAAAUAUAUACUCCCUCUGUUCCUUAAUAACUGUCGCUUGAGAAGUGUGCUGCCCUUACAAUCACGCUUCCCAAGCGAUAGAUAAAAAGGGACGGAGGGAGUAGACCUCAAAGCGAUGCAUGACAUAGUAUGUCUCAAAAGGUUUCUUAAAAAAAAAGUGUCUCAAAGGAGCGUUACCUGGAAGAACAUCUCAAAUGAACGCCUGAUGAAUCUGUGCAUCCAAACUCCGGAGUGACAUGUUCAAGACAUCGCGUACAGUGCGUACAUACAGAUGCUUCCUUGCAACCUUCUUUCAAUAAUCCAACAAGCAGCUAGUGAUUGCAAACGAGAAUAAUCAAGAAGACUGGUGAUAGAAGAAAAUAUUUCAGGUUAGCAUUAGUUCAGGAUCGGAGGUGCGUAGCAAAUAAAUGAAAUGCCUCAUUCCUGAUGCAGGCCUGUUCUUCACCGAAGACUGAAUUUCAUAAACGAUCAAGGGAUCGAAGAUUAGGAAGAAUCCAAACACCAGCAGAGCCCAGCGCGGUGGCGCGGGCGUGGGCAGACUGGGGACGAUGCCAACCGCCCGGCGGCCGGCUUCGCCGAAGCGGUUAGGGCAUCCGAGUCACGACCAGCAUAUGUAUAUGGGCCUUGGUGACAAAGCCAGAAGAGGCCAUACUAACAUUUAGGAGAGCCCAUGUACUGUGUGGGCUUAUUCGGCCUGGUAAUAAAGCCCGCUUCCCAAUUUGGGGCUCCUCAGCCCAGUUGUGUUCCCUGGCCGUCUACGGCCGGCUGCCGCCGGUUCCACCAUCGGUCCAGCAAAUCAGAGAUUCAGAGGAGGAGCGGAUCCCCGGUGAGGUGGAGGGAUGGCGAACGGCGGCGGCUACGGGUGGGCCCUCGCGGCGGGCUUCAACGCCGCGCUCGCCGCCAUCUCCGCCAAGUUCUUCGCUACUCUGGUACCGCGACACCAACCUACCCCCUCCUCAUCCCUCUCUACCGCUCGCUCUCCCUAUAUGAUCUGAGAUUCCUUUCCUGUGUCGGCUUCGGAGCUUCGGGCUAGUCAAUUUAUUUUGAUGCUGAGUUCAUGGUCACGAACUACUUGCUUACGUCCGGAAGUGUUUGCUGGAGAAUUUGACUUUAGAUUUUGACCCUCUUUGUUUGAUGAACACAAAUGGGAUCACAUGCAGAAACUAGGCGCUGACAUCAUGGACAUGUUUCAAAAGUGGAAUUAAACGCUAUUAUGAUGCGCUGGAGUAUUAAUACGCAAUUCGUGAAGAACGCCUCACUAGUUUAUACUUUAUAUAUACCUACCCAAGACCUUAGGGGUUCAGUCCCAGCAGGUUGAAUAACCAUUGUAAGCUAAAGCUGGUACAAUCAUCAAAAACCGAAAGGAAGAAUUCCUCACAUAGCACUAUCAACUUUGUUGCUGAAGUUUUUCUUGAACAAGAGAUGGGAAAUACUAUCCAUCCAAUAAAAAGGGAAAAAACAAUCAUCUGCCUUCUUUCUUAAGGGGAAAAGAACUCUUUCUUACUGAUGUGCCUGGGGUUUCAGUUCCCUGCUUCAUGGCACAAUUUACACUGUCACUUACUCUGAUCUCGUUUAACACAGCUGAUCAAAUAUGGCAUGGUGAUACUUUUCAACGUCACAAUGUGGGGGUGUUAUGUCAACAGCCUCAAAGCUUUGUCGUCCCUCCAGGCAACAGUCACAAACUUUGCUGCGAACUUCAUCUCAUCGGGGCUUGCAGGGUAUUUCCUGUUUCAUGAGCCCCUGCCUUCUAAGGUAACAUGGGAACUCUCCAUUUUCUGCAGUGCAUCAUAAGGAUCAUCAUAUCUCCAUUUAUUUGUUCUAUUUAUGGUCUCUGUCAAGAUUUCCAAUUGCCAUCCCGAAUUGCUUCUUUUAUGGUAUAGGAGUUACUGUAUCCCAGAUGAGGUGGAGACUGAUAAGAAUGUUCAGGAACCCCUAAACAGCAUACAAAAAAUCAGAUGCCAUGGAGUUUGCAGCAUUUCAUCUUGUUUGGCUUUUUUUGCCUUAUGUUUAACCAUGCAAAUUUGUAAUUAACUUGGUUCUUCCUCAUAGUCAAAGAAAGCCUUUCCGUAUUGCCUUCCUGGUAUAUGUGAUGAGUCACAUAAUGAAAGAGAUGUCCAAUUCCGUUGGUAUUUUGAUAUGUACAACUAAUUCAUAUGGAAGAAAUAAUAACACAUUGGAAUAAUAAAUUGCUGCACAUUGGUGCAUCAGCAUGGGAUACUGCCCAUGGCAGGUGGCUUCUGGUCACGAGUCAUCAAUAUAUAACAUCAUCCUCUACAUCUGUAUGUGAAAUACUACAUGAUCUAUAUCAAUUAAGCCUUGCCAGUAUCAACAAACUAACUAGGGUAAUACUCAAUGCAAUUUGAUUUUUUUAUUGAUCCUUAUAACAUGUUCCCUUAAAUUGACAUGGUUGUUUCGAGAUUAUUUUGUAUUGCUCUUAAGACUGCUUUUUUGACAUGGAGAUGUGUUUAUGCAGUGGUUUGCAGGCGCCGGUCUGAUCAUUCUUGGUGUGUUUAUCCUCAGCAAAUCAAGCAUUGAGGAGAAACAGAACUCGGAUUAGGAGGAAGUUUUGACCUGUAGUGUUAGUUGUAACAUAAGUUGAGCCUGCUUAUUCUUGUUGUAUGUUCCCAUGGUAUCUUUGUCCAUCCUAAUGGGAUGAGAAAUGGAACCAUGACUUUGUCAUUCGGUUAAUACAAUGUCCCUAUUAUGUUCUUCAAGGUGCCACUUGAACUCAGCUCUUUCAUAACUAUGAAGAAAGUCCAGCUCCUUUACUAACGGAGACAGUGCUGCUGCAUUGAGAUUUACCACUGUCAUUGUAUCUAUAUGGUGGUUUGCUUUUAUUUUGAUUCCAAUGUGAGACAAAUCAAGCUGUGGUAGUAUAGUAUCAUCCGCAGGAGUUUGUCAUCUUUCCCCGGGUGAAUUUUGGCAUGUCAGUUGAAGUGAUCUCUUAACUGUUUUCAGACACCGACAAUCAUGCCGGAGCUGCCACAGGCGAUGAUGUGCAGGCAACCACGGCCAGACGUUCAUGUGGUCAGUGCCUGCUCGGUGCUUCCACGCGAACGGUAUCUGCGGCAAGAGAAGUGCAGAUCAAUUGGGCUUUCGACAAGUCGACUAGAACCGAGCCAGUGCGCAAUAGCGUGGAAAGACUUUUACCCGUCAAGGAAACCUCUCGAGGAGCUUUCAUUGCCCCGAUCUUCACUUUAUAAAAAAGUAAUGUAGGUUAAUAGCAUGUGAGUCGAAGUAGGCAGCAGCCUGCUGGUUUUAGGCGCCGUUAGGGAGGGUUUAUUUCAGCUUUGGCUUCACCUGUUUUAUGCAAAAUAAAGCAAUAUAGCGUGAAGCCAUUUUAUAAGCCGAGGUUAAAAUGAACUGUAAGCCAGGUGAAACCACUAUUUUUUACUUCUCUGGCUUUGACUUGGUUUUGACUUCACUGGUGAAGCCGUUUUGGGAGAAAUCUUUCCAAACAGAACCUUAACAGUGAACUUAUGGUAGGAACCUAGCAUGCUACAAAGAACGGCAGAUACCAUGCUCGUCUCUGCUUCAUCUCCACUUGUGCACAUCUUGGUGAUAGGUGAAAAGCACGCGUUAUCAGAUGACUUUCAGGUUGCCGUUUCUUCUGAUCCGUCAGUUGGAGGAGCCAGUGAGCAACCGCCAUGAUUUGCCACGGAUGAAUUUAUGUGGUUAGGCCGCCAUCAAUCAGCGUACGAGUUAAUCAGGCGGCAGGGACGUCCAGCAGCCGGGAGGCAAAGAAAGAAGGUCCAAGAGGAGGGUCGGAACCGUCGUCCUCAGGCUGAUCUGAGUGGCCGCAACAAUGUGCGCGUUCGUUCCCGUGCUCUCACAUCGAUUUGAGUCCUCACCUGAAAUAUUCCCGUGCCAGCAGUUUCUGUUGCUGAAACCGCCAAUGGCAGAGGAGGGAAAUGGUGGGCCGCCCCGCCAUAGAAGAUAGAACAGGAGCACGAGCGUCGUGAGCCCUACUCCGAGCAGCUUUUGGCAAGAUGAUGGGCACCUGUGAACAGAUGUAACGCAACUCAUGAGUCGGCAUCAGUGGUGGUUCGUGCUAGCCAGAGAGCAAAUAUUCCUAGGCGAACGGGGUAGGACCGGCUGGAGACGACGACGGGAGCUUCUUGGGUUCUAGAGUUCUAAUCCUGACUUGUCUUGAUUCCGAGCUUGGAGGGUAGCCUCUGAGCUGAGGGACCCGCGCAGCAUUGUGGUAGGAGUAUCUUGUUCUAUCCUAGGUUCAAUAAUGCUAGAUUGCUAGUGGCAGUGUUUCUUGAACUGAUGGAUGGACACUCCAAAGUGCAAUUUGUGCGUUCACAGUGAUGAUCUCCAAUUUAGCUAGUGCACUUGUUAAGCGCAAGAAAUUCACAGGCUCUUGUUGUCUGUAGAACAAUACACUCCUGCAUAAGGAAUGAAGCGAGGAAGAACAACCAUUACCUGACAAAACAACACGGACGCAGAACAAGUCCGGAACACGAGCGCGCGCUUCCUUGAAUCCUUCCAGGUUCCAGGACCCACCACGUGCUGAGGAAGGCGCGAACUCUGCGCUGCGUGGCACACUGGCACAACAAGCUCAAGUACACCGAACUGCGUCACACAGUUCCCCUCCGUGCUCUGUCGUUUCACGUAGUACGCGACACGAUACGACGAAACGCCCCGUCCGAGCCGUGCUCUCGGGGCAGGGGGCACGCCGGCAUGUCAUCCUUGUCCGCCUCGCCGGCAGAAGCCUCUCCUCUGUCAUCCGGAGCAACCGAACCAAAGAUUAGCUGGCUGGAUGAGGUGGUGGGCGAGUUCAAAGCUGGCUGUGAUCUGACGUGGAUGGAGGAAAACCCCGGUGGCGCGUCGCGUGACCGCGUGAGGCCUGGCCUGGGGUUGGCGUCACCAGAUAAGCCCGCCCACAUGACCCCCUCCCCAGCAGCCUUCAAUUCCCUUUCCCCGCGUACUCCCCACUCCUACUGUAUAUUCACUUGGCGCCCGCCAGUCGCCCACGGGCCCAGCAAGCAGCGCGAGCUCACUCCACCUGCACCUUCACGUAGCAGGCCGGCCUCGGCCCCGUCGUCAUGGCGCAGCGAGAGGGGGCGCCCAAGGCGGCCGUCGGCGGUGGAGGGAGGAGGCCUGAUGGCGGCCUCGUCGCCCUGGAGAUGGGCGGCGCCGGAGGGGAGCGGGCGGCGGAGCGAGAAGGGAGGGCGGCGUGGGCGGCCGCGGCGGGCGUCGCGGGGGUGGGGCUGGCGGGGGCCGGCGUGCUGGUGUGGUGGGCGGUGGCGUUCCACCCGUCGCACCAGCAGCUCUGGAUGGUGCCCGUCGGCCUCGUCCUCCUCGGCACGCCGCUCGUCGCCUGGCUCUCCCUCUUCGCCUCCGGCGCCGGCCGCUGGCUCGGCGGCCUCCGCGCCGGCGCCGACCGACCGCCCGUCGCCCCCACCGUCGUCCCGGAGAGAUGAUCAGCGCGUGCGCGGCCGCCGGCGUGCAUGCAGAUUUGAGUAUGUAGAGCAGGACCUUGGACUCAUCGGUGUACAGUUUUCUUCCCCGUCUUUCUUUCGUUCUUGUCAUGGCCGUCGGAGUGUGAAUCGGAAUCGGAACAGCAGUUUGGUAGCAGCACUACGGAAGUUUUAACUGAUUUGCAUAUGCUUUGCUUGAUGAUUUGGUUGGUUGGUUGGCAGGCCGUUUCAGAACGCGGGAUUCCCAUUCGGAUACAAUUUCCACAUGGAUUUGAGUUUGCCAUGUAGUAGUAAAAUGAAGUGUAUUACUGAUUACUACUUACAUUUGGGGGCUCAAUUUUAGACCACCCAGCACUGUCAGACUCUGGUAGAGAGAGAAAAAAUGUGAAAAUGAUCUCGGUACUUGUAAUGCUGAUGUGCUUCGCAAUAAAUUGAACGAGCCAGUAGCUUGCACCAUUGAUUUUUGGAACCCGAAAUGUCACGGGAAGGGAAGUGUUGCGCGGCUCUUUGAUUGUAUCUAGCGUGACACCUUGGAAUGGACGUCUUGGGCAUCGUAGAUCAUGAUAGCCGAGGCAAGUGGACCGACGGCGAGAGGUUCAGCUGCCGGACGGGCCCUCUUCAUAUUCUUUAUGCUACAACUAGUAUACUCCUAGUAGCAGGAGUGAGCACUUAGCAGACGCAGGUAACGUUUGGAUACUAGGUUAAACUUUAGCCCUAUCACAUCGAAUAUUCAGACGCUAAUUAGUAGGACUAAAUCUGAGCUAAUUACAAAACUAAUAGUAUAACUCCUAAGCUAAAUCGCGAGACGAAUCUAUUAAGCCUAAUUAAUCCAUCAUUAGCGAAUGGUUACUGUAGCACCACGUUGUCAAAUCAUGGACUAAUUAGGCUUAAUAGAUUCGUCUCGCGAUUUAGCCUAGGAGUUGUACAGUUAGUUUUGUAAUUAGCCUAUGUUUAAUACUCCUAAUUAGUGUCAAACAUCCGAUGUAACAGAGGUUAAAGUUUAGCCCCUAUCUCCCAAACACCCCUGCAGGCAAGAUGGCUACCUGUGUCUCCGGUAAUCUUGCUUGCUCCAUCGAUGGCUCUCAACAACAAGAAAAAAUUAGAUGGGGACGGUCCCAAAAUCCUCACCAUGAGGUCCUGCCCUCGAUUUCUGCCGCGUGGCCACCCAAGCGGAUCGACACCUCAGCGACCACAACGCUCGUACUCGGCUCAACGCAUGCAGCUCAGGUGCUCGUCUCGAAGUGGACGGCUCAGUUCCUUCUUCCCUGUCGAGAGCCGCUGCCACAUCUGUUCCGCAAGUUGUCACCUCCAGCAUCCUACGCCGCCAUCGCCGUCCUGCCGUGGUCCACCUCAGUCCCCUCGUCCGACCAAUCUCCCGUCAAUCUCUCUCAUCCUCUGCUGCUGUCGCAUCCGUCGUCCUCCACCACGGCUGUCGUAGUACGCCGAAGUCGCCUUGCCCACUGGCGCCCCCUACGACCGCCUCGUCCUCCUCUGCCGUCGCCUCCGCCGUCCAGUGCCGUCGCCGCCUCCAGCUUCACAUGAUGGGAUGCCUCGAGUAUGACAUGCAAACACAUUUUUCUCUCUAGCGUACUGUGUCUCCUCUGGCCUGACGUAUCCCAUGAAAACGGAUGAAGAUGAACAUGAAUUUUCACCUUGAUCGGGGUGUUGGAGCUAGCUAGUACCAUGACCGAACUAAAUGUCUUAUUUGCAUUAGUGGCUGUGAUUCAUAAGUCCGCCGCAUUAGCCGUCGUUCGCCGCCUCUGCACCGUCAUCCGCUGCCGUCGUCUCCGUCAUCCACUGCCGCCGCUGCAAUUUCGAGCCAGAGCCGUGGCCUGAGCCGAGCCAGCGGCUGUUGGAGAGAGCCGAGCGAGCGAGCCUGCGUUCCCUGCGAACGAGCGCGCGAGCCUGCGUUGCCCUGCGAACGAGGGCGCGAGCGUCGAUGCGGUCGGGUGGUCACGCGGCAGAAAUCGAGAGCAGGUCCUCACGGUGAGGUCUUUGCCGACCGUCCCCACCGAAUUUUUUUUUUCCUCAACAACAGUCGUUGAUCGCCUUCCAUCGUGCAGGCCUUGGCGAUAACUUCGAUUCCGGCGGCAUCCCCGGCCCACCAAGCCGCUAAACUCUCUGCCUCUAGCUCUGUUGUGGUGCGCGUACGUCUGCCUGGUCCACAUGUCACACGCACACUCACCGGACGUCAUUUCAUUCGAAUGUUCGAUCUCGGAUUAUGGAAGGAUUUGGACGGAAAGUUUUGUGCGGUUCAGCUGCGAUGCUAGACUCCGACGACCAAGCAAUUGGGAGCACAGCGAGUCCGGGUGUCACGGUGGGAAGAGAUGGCCGGAAUUCUUGUACAGUGAGCGAGACGUGGACUGCGCUCCCUAAUCAUCCUAGUAUGUUGGGGAAUUUGGAAUGGAAAGAGAGAAAUGCAAAGAAAACGUAAACCACAUAGUAAUAAUCGAAAAGAUCAGAGACGAAGCGAAUUUGUAGGUUACGGCCGGGAGCAAAGCGUCUAUGGACACUGGUUGAUGACUUCCGAUCGUAUGACCCUCCUGUGAUUACCGCGGCAUAGUUAGCAAGAAGAAGAAGAAGCUGGGAUCUUGACAUGCACCCGAUGGUCGCUACCUGUGCUGCGAGUUGUGUACUGUAUGGCGCGUGAGAUCAGAAUCGGAUGAGGAAAACUGCUGCAUCGAUGGGAGCUGAGCACAGAAUGGGCAUCUCAUUCUGUCAAAGCUUAGUCAGAGAAGAGCGGCGGUUAGGUUCGGCUCUGCUGCUGCAUGUGUAGUUCAUAAGCAGACAACCGAGAAGGAAUCUGGUGAUCUCAAGCACCCAACUUCCACUUGAUGAUACUACAAGUAUUCUCCACUUGACAUCACUAUGAUCAUCAACUAGCGCGUAUGGUCCUGGUGCGGGCGGUUCAUGUGUUGCAGCCGGGGUUGAGGACCUUCAGGUGUGGAGGUGGAGCAUCUUCUUCCUCUGAAGCUAAGCUAGGACAUGUCUGCGUCACUCACCUACCUCUCUAGCGUAGCAGAGUAUUCAUUCGGUUCCCAUGUUUGUUUGUUGCGUCCCCUCUUUCUUGGGAUGAUGACACUGCACACUGCCGUCGGAAAUGGAAGCAGCAAUGGCCUCUGCGGGUUCCGAUGCCUCUGGCAGUCUGGCUACUCACUCCGAAGUCCAAAUGGAAGCCGCUCCGGUUUCGAGUUACGAUGACGCUGCCUGCCUGCAAUCACGCAAGCCAGCGAUCAGACGGAGACGGAGGUGGCAUGCUGCAUGCACUAAUUGACAAGUUCGGUGGAAGGCUACCAGGAUGGAAAGGAAAAAUAUUAUUAUCGGCUGGGAGAGAAACAAUAGUACAACGUGUGUUAACAUCACAAUUAAUCUUACUAUUACUAAUUGGAGGUUUCUUCUGAAGCCCGAAGCCAUCUAGGAUCCUAGGUGGACACUAAAGAAAUCCUAAAAAUUCUCUCAAAAAAGCAAAACAUCUAGCCAUCAAUUCAGUAGAUUAAAAUCAUAAUAACCAUUAGAUCUAUUAUAUUUUCUAAAAAAUUACCAACCUCUGUCAUUAUGAAAAUAGCAUAAAGUAACCCCUAGAUUCAUAUCUAAAUUACCCACCUCUGCCAUUAUAAUAAUUAACUAAAGUAACCUCGAAUCUUCAUCUAAAUUACUCACUUAUACUGUAAUAAAAAAAUAAAAUAACUCCCUAAAUUUGCAUUAAAAUUGCCCCCCACUAACAUUAUAAAAAGCAAUAGUCCAAUUACCAUAUGAGGGAGGAGUUUUAAAACAAAAUCACAGCCAUUGAUUUAAUUAAAAUAAAUCAAAAAUAGAUAAAAUCACGAUAAUCACACAGCUGCCUCUCACGCACGGAGAUAAACUAGCGCCGGCCAUCUCCGAUCGUGGCAAUCCUGCAGUUCCUCGCGCGCGGAGAAAAAACAUCGGCAUCUCAGAUAGCAAGUAAUUGAUGACAGGCUCACGUCACGUUGCAUCGGGGAAAACAUGCAACUUACCUCAUGAGGAAAAACAGAUAGCUAGAUCUAAUUGAUUAUAUUUUGACUAAAUUUCUAUUUUCUAAACUAUAUAAGUAUCGGGUUAGCAUAUUUAACAAAUGAGAGAAAAUUCAAGGUAACAAUUUUGAUUAUUAGCUAUGUGUUUCAAUUGGAUACUCCGCGUUAAUUUUCACAAGACACGUUAGGAAAUUCUCACAAAAAUAAAAAAUAUGGAGUAUCAAUCAUGUAGACUCUAACAACCAUAUCCAUUGAUCUAUUAUAUUUUCUAAAAAAUAUUACCCACCGCUAGCUAUCAUUAUGAAAACAUUCGAAAUUAAACCCUAAGCCGAUAUCUAAAUUACCCACCUCCUCGUUAUAAAAUUUUAAAGUAAUCCAUAAUAUUCAUCUAAAUUAUCCAUACAUAUUAUCAGAAAUUUUUUUAAAAUAUCCUUCUAAAUUUGUAUUUAAAAUAUCCAUGUAUAUCGUUAUUAAAAAUAACAUGAAGUAAGCAUAUAAAUCUUAAUCCGAUUGUGUGCAUGUUCAUUGUACAUAAAUGUUCAAAAGUAAAUAAAUAUAUGAUUCUAAAUUACCUAUGUAUAUCGUUAUUGAUAUAGAAUUACUAAGUAAAGGUAUAUAUGCCUGAUGUGUGUCACCAUGUAGACCGUUUAUUCAUGUACGGGAGGAAGUGAUGAAAAUUAUUGAUUCUAAUGUUAAACACAAUGUAUGGAGAUGCAUUGUAAAGUGAAAAAAGUAUGAAUUUGGAUGAAAAAGUUUAUAGAGUAUUAUUAAUUAAAGUCAAUCAAAACUGGAGUAUUGUGUUAGAAUAUUAAAAAAAAUGAGAGAGUCAUAGAUAAACAAUUUUGAUUAUUAGCUAGGGAAUCUAAUUUUUAAAUAACUUUAGAAUGCAAUAAUUUUUAAAAAUUUUAGCCCGUGCAGGAGCACGGGUUGAUGAACUAGUAUAUCACUUAACAGUGUUCCCGGCACAAAAAUGACUGAUCAAGUAGAUUGAUCGACUGUGACGGGUAGGGUACCCUCAGGCAAGGGGCUAAGGCAACCAGGUACCAAAAAGCCAAAGGCCUAACAGCUAGAAGCAUUCUGGAAGCGGCGCAGACGAUGUUGCGGCCCACCACCCAACCUUCCUUGGUCGAAAGAUAAGAGCCACGACUCGCUGGCUCAGCCAGCUCGGGGGCGGGGUUGACUCAGGAAGACCUGUGUCAUAUGAGAGGCAUUAAAUGCACAGUGUGGCCCUCCUGACCGCCCCACGCCAGAGACAUGAUCGGGUGAGGGGAGCUGACCUUUAACUAGGGGGUCCGAGGAUGAGGCAACAACCUUCGGACCGCCCAGGACGACUUGCAAGAUGAGGCCACGCGCCCCGACGUCACCAUCGCCUUCGCCAUCCAGGAGACCCGUCAAGAUUAAGGCCAUGCCACCGCACCAGGCCCGGUACGGUCCCGCAGGCGAGGUAGGACCCAGCGACAAACGUUACGGUGAGGAACGGCCGUGAGCGCACUAAAGAGGUCAGGGAAAGCCAGGACAAGCGGCGCGCCCUGUCCAGGCACUAAUCACGGCCUGCCCAUUCAUCACCAGUAUGGACGACAGCAACAGCACCCUGUUCACUGCCACAGAGUUGGCAGACGGGACAGGAGCACACCACGGAGCCGGCCGAGCCGUGCAUAAGCAACCCACGCCGCACAGGAGCCACCGUACAAGGUGUGGACACGUCGCACAGGAGCCACCGUACAAGGCGUGCGAAGUCCACGACCAGCCAAAGGGACAGGACAAGGAGGCCUCUUGGUGCAAGGAAGAUCCAACCACGCCACAACCCACGACCUCUGAGGUCGGGGACCCCCUCCAUUUCUCAACGUUGUUGUCCGUUCCCUGCUCUAUAUAAGGGGAACCGGGCCUCAUUUCUCUCUCUCUCUCUCUCUCUCAUUCAACGCGUACACCCACACAUCGCACGAACGCUUGCUUGCAAGCACCUCGUUGUAAGCCCAGUGCACUUAUCCGAGGAACAUGACUCCUGCCGAAACUAGACGUAGGGAUUUUUUCCGAACCAGUAUAACUCCUUGUCUCUUGUGUGCUAGCUAUCAGAAGUGAGGAGAGCGCGGCGUACAAUCACUAGUCGGCAGUCCGAAACAUGGAAAUGGUUAGCGGAGGACACUGCUUGAUUAAAUGGCCAACAAUGUGCACGUCAAAAGACAUGGGAGGACUUGGGAUUCUCGACCUUGAGAGGCUUGCAAGAGCCCUGAGAAUGCAAUGGUGUUGGUUUCAGUGGAAACAUAGCGAGAGACCAUGGGUAGGGCUCGAUAUCCCUUGUGACAAGAACGACAGGGAUCUGUUCUAUGCUUCAACAGUAGUAAAGGUGGGCAACGGAAAGAAAGCAAACUUUUGGCAUUCUGCAUGGGUGAAUGGAAAGUCCCCAAGAAAUUUGAUACCCAGUUUGUUCCAAUGAUAUAAAAGGAAAAACUUCAUGGUACAAAGGGUAUUACAAGAUAACUACUGGAUUACUCAAAUAUACCCACUCAUGUUCGGAGAGGAAAUCAGAGAAUAUGUGUACCUAUGGGAAGAAAGAAACCUGCUGCAGAGGGACCCUACUACCAAGGACGAAAUAACGAAAUAACUUGGAGGUGGACGACGGACAGAGAAUAUACCAUGAAGAGUGCAUGCCGCAUCCAAUUCCAAGGUCAACUGAAGAAGCUUAGCAUCACCCUAAUCUAGAAAGCCCGAACGGAACCCAAAUACUGAAUCUUUACAUGGAUUCUUCUCCAUAGGAAAAUCUUAACGGCCGACAAUUUGGAAAAGCGGGGGGUGGCCCAACAACCUACAGCGCAAGCUAUGCAAUUCGGACCUAGAGACUCCCGCACACUUGUGCAAGGACUGCCCGUACACAACAGCAUUCUAGGACCAUCUACGAGGAUGGUUUUCCCUUCAUCACUUACCAUCAGGUAACGCAGCGUCCUCGAUCCACAAUUGGUGGAAGAAGUGCAGGAUCUUUAUCAACAAACGGAACAGAGCGCUCUUUAACGGCCUAAUCAUAUAUUUCUAUAUUUCUGGUAGAACAUUUGGAAAGAGCACAAUAGAAGAGUCUUUAACCACGAAGCUAAAUCAGUAGAUGACGUGGCGUUUCUUAUCAAAGAAGACUUUCAGCAGUUUCAAUUGGCAACACAGCCCUUAGCAGCCCACACUGACGUUCCAGCUUAGCAGUUUGGGAGUGGUGUUCUUCUCCGUGGGGGAGAGUGUUUAGUGUUUGCUGUUAUUUUCCUUUUUUGGAGUGUUUUUUGAAGCGAGUGCAGUGAGAGUGUGUUUAUAGUCGUGUUGUGUUUAUAGUUGUUUGUUUGUUUUUUAUUUUCUCCUUCUAAUAAAAUUUUUGGCAAAGCUUUUGCCGUCCGUUAAAAAAAAAGUCACGGGCGGGGAGGGGAGCGAGCGAGCGCCUGCGUUCAUCCGGGCGCGCGUCUCCCAGGGCCGGUGCCACCCCGGGCAGCGGCAACCCGGAGCAAAGCGAUCAUAGCUGAGUAGCUGACCUUGCUUUGUUUCCCUUUCCGUGGCCAUGGACAUGGAGAGGUUGACCGCGUAGGACUCGCUGACGAAUGUAAUGAUGUGCACGUGCUUUGUUCCGGCGGCAGCUAGCCGAUCCUUGUUUCUUCUUGUUGCUUGCCAGUUGGAUCUUGGAGUCGAUCUUGUUCCUUUAUAAUACACAAAAGCUAAGGAGCCAGUGAAAUUCCAGUAAAACCGAUGAGGCAGAGAUGAUCCUGACCACCAUGUCUCGUCUCUCGUGCUAUUAUAAAAUGCUGUGCGCCAUGAGUUUGGAGUAGUAUAUCAGCAUUCGACACAGCAGGGGGGCAAACGACCUUGCAUAUUGGACUACAGCAUCUUGGAAUAAAGCUAACUGAAAAAUCGUGAUACCUGACGAAUCGAGCAAGCCGGAAUAAUUUCCAGGGGUCCAGUUUUUGCAGCUGGAAUAAUUUCGCGGCAGCAGCGUGUCCUCCUGCAGCUGCAGCUGCAGCUCUAGAAAAGGAAGCCGGGCAGAACUUAGCUGCAAAUCGAUCGGUGGAGAGAAUACAAACAGGCAUCCGCGUCGAACCCAACAUCUUGCAAGAGGACACGGCAUAGAAAGCCACACGUCGAGUGGAGGUCGCACUCGGGUCCCCGUCACCAUAAUUCACGUCCCCAGCGGCCCAAGAGUCCAGAUCACCCUGAACCAAGUAAUUGCAACGCCUGUAGACUUGAUAGAUUUUUUUUUAACUUAGCUGUAGCUACAGCUAGCCUUGCUAAUUGGAUUGGUGUUAAUGGUUUUAGUGGAUUUAUUUAAGAAUGGAGCUGCAUCGGCCGGUAAUGGAUUGAAAAGUUAUUGAGCUGGUUUAAUUUGGGCUGCAAAUUAGAGAGGGAUGGUUAGUUAUUGGAGUAGCUUCAUUUUAUCGGAUUGUUAUCGGUGUCCAAACCAAGGGUCGUAGGCCAACUAGGCACUCGGGCUCUCGGGCAGGUCGUAGGCGCUCGCCACUGUGCCAGGCCGCAAGCGAAGGAGCUGACCCUCGCCUCCAUCCCUCCCUCCCUUCGGCGGUCCCGCCGCCGCUGCCACGACUCCCUUCCCUCGUGCCGCCGCCGCCGCAACAGCCACGCCUCCACCUCCGCCUCGCUCGCGCCGCCGCAUCAGGAAAGCUAGCAAAUUCAUCGGGCAGAGGAAGCCGGUGAACAAGCUCUCCAAGAAGCUGGCGAACGAGCUCUCCAAGAAGCCUGCGGCGAUUCAAGCUCUCCACGGCUGCCCGCAAUCUAGGUGUGCAUCAUCUCCUCCUCCGCGCCAUGUGAAGUGCGAAUCUACGAUUUGGAUGCUAUUUCCACGUCCUGGGGUGUUGGAUUGAUCGGUAGGUUUAGAUUAGAUCCAAUCUUUUGGGUUUAGGUGAGGUUUUGGGGUUGGAUCACUUUGGCAAUCCUGAACAGCAGACCUAUACCCUACGUCGCUUCAGAGUCUGUUGGAGGCUACAUGAUUCGGGGCUUGAUUGGGACAUUCUGAAUCCACUGGAAAGAAUUGUUGAUUGGCUGUUGUAAACAAACUGUGUUUGAUUUAUCAGAAAUUAGUGGUACAAAGAAAAUGUGCGAUUUCAUUUGCUCGGCACUUGAGAGAUUAGAUAAAACUCACCGUGGUGGAAGUGAAAAGGGAGAUCUUGACAUGCACAAGGUUUAUUUGCAGGAGGUUUAAUUCCUUUAGUGUGGAACAUUUUGCUUGCCUGUAAACUGAACCAGCAGCCCCAGGAGGUUUAAUUCCUUUAGUGUGGAACAUUUUGCUUGCCUGUAAACUGAACCAGCAGCCCUUGUCUGGGUUUUAUUUCUUAUUGCCUACAAAUUUCAAGAGCAAAGUAGCUGUGUCCUAUUCAUAUAUGUUGUGAUGCAGUAGUAUCCCUCAUGAAUAAAAUUUGCAAUUCCCAAAAUUAUGAUCCUCUUUCUCCGUGGAUGCUUCCCAGUCAAGGUCUUGCAUUUCUAAUGAUGGUUUUCUCUGAAAAAAACUGCAAUUUCUUAUAAGUUGUUAUUACCUAGAGAUUCUUCAACAUGUUUGCUAACACAUCAGAAACGGUUACCAACAAGAGAAAUAAUUCAUGUUACUAUCUUAGUUUCUGAAUUUGCCGUAUACGUUUUACAAGCCUAGCAACUGCCGUACACAUGUAGUGCACAACUGAAUCUAUCUUGCUUUGUUUGUUCCAGUGUUCCAGCUCCAGAUGCAUGGAGGGAUUGAUGAACCAAUUAUUGUGAGCAUAGUUCCUUCUGCCAGACGGAUUUGGUCUGCUCUGUCUUUGAUUUGGUCUGAAACAGGAGUCGUUGUUGAUAAAUUUUGACAGGAAUCAUGUAUAUUUCAUCGUUUCAGUUCCUUGGCCAGAACAUCAUAUUUUGUAAUAGUUCUGUACUUCUAAUUCUAACAUUGUUGGAUUUUUAAUCUUCUUAGAGGAAUCUCACCUCUGUCUUACCGCAUAGCAAGAAGACCGUUUGGGCAGUUGUGUGCUCCUGUUCACCUGGCUGCCUGUGUAAUCUUGGAUGAAGCUGCGGUGGAAACAAUUUCUUAAUGGGUAAAAUCGGUUGUAGCUGCAGUUUGGACAGUGGUUUGUUAUAUUAUUUGCUGCGGGAGGAGGAUUGGAUUGGUGGGGUUUGAUUCAUGGAGGAGCAAGAUUGGAGUAGGGUGGGUUGCAUUUUCUUUGUACAGUAGAAUAGAUUAGAAUAGAUAGGUGUGGUUUUGGCUUGGGUACGAGACGUAGACUUGAUAGAUCUUUUUUUUUAAUAUUCCUAGACACAGGCGCAUAGCUCCCUACUCCUACCCCACCACGGCGGUCGGCGGCCACGAGAGCACGCGGCUGCGUUGGGAGGCGCUGAAUCCGUGGCCGGCGUGGCACUGGCACUGGCAACGAUAAGGUGGUAUGGCCCAUCCAGGGCGGGGGGACAAUCAUGUGGUUACCCGCCCUAGCUCCAUGAUUGAUCGGACUAGUGAUGGUCGUGGAGGCAGGCAGGCACUCGCUCGCUCUCGUCACGGUAUCCCGUAUCCCCCGUGGAUCCCAAGCUAGCGACGCGCCCUGGCUGACUGGCGCGGGUAAGAUCUGGCGGAGGCCGUGUUACUCGUGCCUACAUCUGGCCGGGACCGGUCGUCAUUCUACUGCGCGGUGUUGAUUGGACUACGCGGGGCCCACGCGUUUCUUCUACCAGCGAAGACUUGACGAAGGCUUUUGGGGUGGAGACGUGGAGCUGCUGGCUGCUGCCGAGCGGCGUCGUGCCGUGGCACGGCAGGAGAGCUGGGGAGGGGAGGAGAUCCCGCGUAUGCAGAGUGGAGAGCGGCAGAACGAAGCGCGUCUCUUUCGACGGCCGCAUGAUUGGUGUACGGGACCGUACGGCGCUCCUUCCCGGAAGUUGCUGGCGAGGACGGCACGAUUCGGUUAUCGUUUACUACUUAUCUGAAUGAUGCACGAGUCAAGUCAACCCACCACCAAAAUGUAAUCCACGGCUCUAGAUGAGCUCCGCUGCCCGUUCUCGGGCUCAUGCAGAAGCAGAACCUUCCGUUCCGUCCGCUCCCGUUUUGCCAUUGCAACCUGGCCGUCCGGUCCGGUCCGGCUGGCCCCAGCAGCGCCUGGCCCAGCGCACCGUGCUGGCGGCGCCUAGAGAUAAGCGCGAAACGGACCAGCUCGACCUGACCAGCUGAAACGACGAGGGCCCACCCCUCAGACGGACACCGCAGCUCCGCGCGCCGCCUGCGUACAUCUCACCCCAAACGGAACGGACCGGGCCCACCAGCGCAGCGCAGCGCCGCGGCAUAUAAACCGGACGCGCGCGGAGGCGGACGGGAAGAGCAAAUCCACCGCUCUCGUCGACCCAGCGCCAGCGCCAACGCCAACCGACCCAGCGAACCGCGGCGCCUCGUCGCGCCCUGCCUGUCCGAGCCUCCGAUCGAUCGCUUGUUCCGCCGGGCCGAAGGGAUGGCGGAGUCCGCGGCGCCCAAGGCGACGGCGGCGGCGGCGGGGAGGAAGACGCGGGUGGGGCCGUACGAGCUCGGGAAGACGAUCGGGGAAGGAAGCUUCGCCAAGGUCAAGCUCGCCCGCGACUCACGCACCGGCGCCGUCUGCGCCAUCAAGGUGCUCGACCGCAACCACGUCCUCCGACACAAGAUGGUCGAGCAGGUCCGCCGCCUCCCGUCCCUCCUUUGCUCCUUGGAAUCAUAUCCUUCAUUCGCCAGCAAUCCGUUGGAAUCGUACCUGAACGAAUUAAAAAAAAUACCUGACCUGGCAUAUUUAGGAAGAUCUUUCCGCUAUUUAUUCGUAGAAAAUGGGGGAUAAUCAGACAGAAUAUCCAUUGACGUCUCUGUCGUUGUCUAGAUUCUGUUCCUCUUGGAUUGUUUGUGAUGGGGAAAAAUCGUGUGUUCGGUGGGUGUCCCCCGUCCUUGCUUAAGCUUUCGAGAUGCUGCGCGAAUCGGAUCGGAAGGGGAAUCAAAUUCAGAUUGGAAAUUAUGACCUUAUGAUCACCAAAUCAGAUAGGAAACCAUUCUGACACAAGGAACAAUGAUCCACGCCUAGAUGAUGUUUAUGAAAUGCGUAUGACUAUGGUUGUCAGGAGUUUCUCUCAAUACAUUUUUUUAUCGAAAGGAAAAACAAAACUCUGCUGUCGCGUUGUGAUGAAAUACGAAUGUAUACUAGCAUCAGAUGUCUGCUGUCCAGUUGUUUGAACCGCUCUGCCUUCUGCAUAACUUGAGUUUGUAACGUGAACGCUCACCACUUCUUCCACUUUCAGAUCAAACGGGAGAUUUCCACUAUGAAGCUAAUCAAACAUCCCAAUGUGGUCCAGUUGCAUGAGGUAUCUUCAAAUAUUUGCCGAGACACGAUAGUAUAAAUUCCAUUACCUUUUGAUAUUCCAUCUCACUCAAUAUGUGUGUUUUUGAUAGGUUCUGGCCAGCAAAACAAAGAUAUACAUGGUUCUUGAAUUUGUUGACGGAGGCGAGCUAUUUGAUAAGAUUGUAAGGCCCUCAAACUUUCAGCGCCUGAUAUUGUUACUCUUUAUUGCUUUUAACCUGAGCUUACCCGUGCCAAGAAAAAAACAUGUGAGCUAAGUUUCGAGACCCUGGCACAUAUGUUUGUUUAGGUCAAUUCUGGGAGGUUAAGUGAAGAUGAAGCAAGGAGAUACUUUCAUCAACUUAUAAAUGCGGUUGAUUAUUGCCAUAGUCGAGGAGUUUACCAUAGAGACCUGAAGGUUUGUUGAAUUAUUCUGCUAUCUUUCUGAUGCGUUAUUCCUCAAUUAUAUAUGCUAUGCGGUUCACUGUCUAAUUCAUGGAUGUCUCGUGUUCUUUUUGCAGCCAGAGAAUUUGCUUCUUGAUUCACAUGGAUCUCUUAAAGUUUCAGACUUCGGACUGAGUGCCUUUGCGCCACAAACAAAAGUAUGAUCUCUAUCUAGUAUCUAGAAAAAUGCAUUUUGCAUGUUCAAUAGUUAAGCCCUUUUGUUUCUCUAUGACAGCGAUGCAUUUUAGGUCUUACAGCAUUCGUCCGGGUCAAUCGACUUAACUUGCUACCUUCUAUAAAAAUAUUCCAGAAUAAAUGAGUAAACAAAAAAAGAAUUGCCAUUAACUCUUCUGUUGUUUUGUUAGGAGGAUGGGCUUCUGCAUACUACUUGUGGAACACCAAACUAUGUUGCACCUGAGGUGAAUUCCUCACCUUCCAUUAGUUACCCACUUAUUUUGUUGCGACCUUGUGUGAUUAAUGUGCUUCAAGAUGUGUAAGCAUCGGACUUUUACUGCAGGUGCUUGCUGAUAAAGGUUAUAAUGGUAUGGCUGCUGAUGUAUGGUCCUGUGGCAUAAUCCUAUUUGUUCUUAUGGCCGGAUAUUUACCAUUCGAUGAUUCCAAUCUGAUGAGGCUGUACAAACUGGUCAGUUUGAGUGAUAGAUUUAGAGUAUUGGUUUACUUUGUGAAAUUAAGUUGUAACUUUGGGAUGAUUUUCUAAUUAUAACUUCCUUUGCAGAUCUGCCAGGCAAACAUUUCUUGUCCGACAUGGUUUUCUUCCGGUGCAAAGAAAUUCAUUAAGCGCAUUAUUGAUCCUAAUCCUGAUACGGUAAGUGUGAAUUAAGAAUGUGCAUUUCAAUAUAUGCUGCCUUUAUUCAAAAUUAUCCAUUGUGCUGUAACCGGUAGACCACUGCUAGUCAUGUGAAUUCUUGUCUUCUUAUAAGUCUUACUAUCAUCACUGUUUGAGAAAAUGGGUGUUUUAUUCUGCAGAGGAUAACAAUUGCAGAAAUUUUGGAAGAUGAAUGGUUCAAAAAGGACUACAAGCCACCACGUUUUGAACAAGGUGAAGAUGUUAGCCUUGACGAUGUUGAUGCUGUAUUCAACGAUUCAGAGGUAUAAUACAAGCUAACGGUUCAUUCUUAACUUGCAAUGGACUAGAAAAUCUUCCCAGAAAUAUUAUGUGCUAUAAAAACAAUCCAAUGUUCUAUUUCACAUCCACAUUAUUGACAGCAGUUUCUGUAAGCUGAAUCUUUCUAUCUUCGUUUUAUUUUGUAAGACCAGAUUGAGAAUAUCUAUUGCAGGAUGGAACUAUUCUCAUUCUUUUUUUACUGACUCACUCAAAUGUCUCGAGAUUUUCGUAAUGUAUACUGACUGUCCCAUAAAAUAUCAGAUUGGUCAACAUCUCAGCAAACGGUUAUAUAGUUGUUACAUAUAGGCACCGCUUAAUGGGCUACCUUUUCCUUUUGACGUCUUAGGAACAUCUUGUGGCGGAGAAAAGGGAGAAACCAGAAUCCAUGAAUGCAUUUGCUCUUAUUUCAAGAUCACAGGGCUUCAACCUUGGAAAUCUUUUUGAGAAGGAGAUGAUGGUGAGUCCAUAGAGAUUUCAAUUUACUACUUUCUCAGUUUGGAAUGUGUUAAAGAUUAGUUUCAAGAGGGGGGGGGGGUGCAUUCCUUUCAGAAGCAGAUGGUAGGUGGUUGGUCGUCUAUUAUUUCACCAAUUUCAGAAUAUGUUGCAGUCUUGACGAUUAGCAUGUUGAAGUGUUACCAUUUGGGGUUACACUUCCUAGUCAGAAAGCAAUUGUACUUUCAGCACACCUUUUUCUUGAUUCCUUACUAAUGCAAGUCUUUUUUUUUUAAAAAAAGGGAAUGGCAAAGCGGGAAACAUCCUUUACAUCUCAGUGUACAGCACAAGAGAUCAUGUCUAAAAUAGAGGAGGCUUGUGGACCACUUGGUUUCAAUGUGCGCAAACAAAAUUAUAAGGUAUGUGACAUUUUUUUUUAACAAAUGGCUAGUAAUGUAAGGACUAAUGUUUUUUUUCAACUUGCAUUAUUUAUGGCAUUAAUGUUUUACAUGUCUUUCUUUUUGGACUUCCAGAUGAAAUUGAAAGGUGAUAAGACUGGAAGAAAAGGCCAUUUAUCUGUAGCAACAGAGGUACUGGUUUUAUUAGCUCUAUGUUCAGUAUUGCAACUUCAGAGUGUAGCUUAUUGAAAUUGCAUAAUUCUGAAUCAACCUCUGCGCUUUGUACUGCAAGUUCUAGUGCAAUACUUAGCAUAACAAUAAAUAAUUCUGUUAUCUGAGUCUUUCCCUUGCAUUCGUGUCCAUGAUUUAUUCGUUUGCAGGUUUUUGAGGUUGCUCCAUCACUUCACAUGGUUGAGCUUCGUAAAACCGGAGGAGACACAUUGGAGUUUCACAAUGUACGUUCUCAAAUUAUUCUGCUUGCUGUAAGAAUUAUUCAGUGAUUGUUUUCCUUAUCACUUUCAAAUAAUUAACAUGGUUUCAUCAAUACGCAGUUCUACAAGAAUUUCUCAACAGAAUUGAAGGAUAUAGUGUGGAAAGCUGAAUCUGACACAAGUAAGAAACAGACAAAGUAAUUCCAAUGGGACCUGUGUAUCUUCUAAGGCCAUAUUGGUAAAAUAUAGCGCCUUUUUAAUGAGUGCGAUUGUACACAUACAUGUAUGCAGAGGCCCUCCCUGGGAUGCUCCUAUAUUGUAACGGUAAUAUGGGAUGUAACAUAGGUUAUCCUGAACUUAUUUUUUUGUUUGUCACCAGGGCUUAGUGUGCCUUUAUUCAAGGUAAUAGCUAAUGAUGAACAAUGAUGUGGGAAUGCUAACCGUGCAAUUGCAGACACAUGCGGAUCAGUUAUGAACCUGAAAUCCGUUAUUUUUGAGGGCUCUACGCCUGAACCUGGGGGAUGCAUCCUGCACCGCAGACUCAGGCGCAAUACGUUUGUUCCUCCUAUGAGUAGUUGCCUCCGUUAUGACUAAGUGCGCGCGCUGCUGGAUACGGUAUCAGGGCAGUGUAAACGUGUAAUCCACCGUUAUUCAAGUUGGUGGACCAUGGUGGACCUGCACAGGAGUUACAGAACUCGACCGUUAUUCCUGAACUCGAUGGAGGUAGUGGUCGGAACUUGGAAGUGACCAACUGACCACUGAGGGCCUGGACUUCGGGAUUUACAAGUAAAAUUACUGCUUAUGUCGGUGUUCAUCGGUGGUUUUGGUUGGAAUUCGAUAGGCUUCAAAAGCUACAAGCUCUCCCAAUCCAGGCCUAAGGGUUGGUUCCUUAAAUUUAGGCUUAUUUUACUAUCCUUAGUUAGAGGUACCACUAAAUUUAACUAGCCCGUAAAAAUGACUCUUGAAAAUAUCAUGUUUUUGGUGCAAUUAGCAGCGCAGUGCUAUGUAGAAAUGCCAAAUUUGGCUAGGUCAUUAAGUUUAGGACCACGAUGUUAAGGUGUAGUACUUCUGCUAAUGGAAUAGAGGGAGCUACUGGUGUUUCUCACCUUCAUUUCUAAUUUCGAUAAAUAAGGCUAUGUUUAGCAUUGCUUUGGUUUUUGAAAAGCACUUAUCCUUUUCUGUUUCAGGAAUCAGGAUAAGUAGCUACUUAAACAGCUUUGCAGGAGCAAUAAGAACAAAAUUUCACCAAAAUUAGAAAAAAAAUCUUUAGGGGGUGUUUGGAUCCUUGGGCUAAAGUUUAGCUCGGGUCACAUCGGAUGCUUGGAUGCUAAUUAGGAGUAUUAAACAUAGUCUAAUGAUAAAAAUAAUUGCAUAAAUGAGGGCUAAUUCGCGAGAUGAAUCCAUUAAGCCUAAUUAGUCCAUAAUCAGCACAUGUGGUGCUACAGUAAACAUGAGCUAAUUAUGGAUUAAUUAGGCUUAAUAGAUUUGUCUUGCGGAUUAGCCCUAAUUUAUGCAAUUAUUUUUAUCAUUAGUCUAUAUUUAAUACUCCUAAUUAGCAUCCAAACAUCCGAUGUGACCUGAACUUAACUUUAGCUAAGGAUCCAAACACUCACUUAGUAGAUUCCACGGCGCAUCGACCAUAUAUGUCCAUAUCGUGACUCUCUGAGAUACCAAAUGCGAAGUAACGUUUUAAGGAAGUCCAUACAUGUACGUCCACAACUCUGUUCUAUCUUUAUACCUUUGUUUAUUAGCACGCAGAAAUGUUCCCUAGCUCAAAACCCCGAAUGAAUAGAAUCUUUCUGUACCUACUAAAAUCUCUGAAGAAGCUCUUGCAUUGCAAAGACACUUCGUCCCUUUUAAUUUUUCAAAAUAAUGCUAUGUACUCCUCCAUCUCAAAAGGAAUGAUUUUCUAUGAUUUUUUAGACAAAUUAGACGUGAAUGAAAAUGACGCAUGCAGUCUUAGUUAGUUCAGUUUGCAUAUAAAAAAGAAGAAAAUAUGUUUCAAUUUAAUCAUGCAUGUACGAGAUCAACGUGCUAAAUUAUGCAUACUUAAGAUUUAUAAAUUAUGCGUGCUUAAGAUUUAAAUUUUAGAACAUCAAUUUUUUAACAAAUUUUGAAUGUUAAAAUAUUAUUCUUUUUGGACGGAGGAGGAUGUCGCAUCGAAUCUGACAAUGCAUGGAUGGGAACAUCUGCGUGGCAGAUGGCUGCAGUGCAAUGAUAGCAAUCUGAGAGGCGGGAGCUGGUAGAGUGGUAGGCGCGCAGUACCAGAUUAAUAGCAGGAAUAGCGGCUUCUUUCGUAGCUAUUCGUCAGUGGUCACUCGCCAGUACACUCACCCGAGCCCUGACACUGAUUUCCGGCGAAGAAAAAGGGAGCUUUUGAUUGGCCAUCCACCUUCUUCUACAGUUUCUUGACAGAAUGACAGCCGUUGCUUGCAUGACAGCACCUUGACACCAUGACACCCCUGUAAGCCCCCAUCUGUACCUCUGUAAGACAGUAACCUGGCUCAAGUGACCGGUGUCUUCGCUCUUUCAGUUUCAGACGGCGCCCGGUGUUCAUCUAGAGGGAUGCUGAUAUUGGAGGGGACGCACGGCUGCGUGCAAGUCUCAGCUAUCUGCGUGACAGCGAGGGUGGGUGGGGAAAACCGCAGCAGGUAGCGGGUGUUUUCUUUAACCCCCAUUAGCAAAUCAAAUCCAUUAUUCCACCGGUCGCCGUCGCCACCGACCACCACCGCACGUCCGCACGCGCCGAAGGGGUCAGUUUCUCCGGUUCUCCUCUCUGUUUUCUGACGCCAGGUGAUGACCCGGACGGGAAAACGAAACCGGACACGAGCUCUUCUUUCUCCCCGACCCGUGCCCUCACAGAAUCGGCCAUGUUUUCGUCGCCGCCGCAGCGACGGCUCAUUGAUGACUGAUAAGGGCAAAACAGAGGAGAAAGACAGAGAUCAAUUAAGCAGGUCGCGUUCCGUUCCGAUACAAGCUGCCGAGUCCCUUUUGGCUCUCCAAGGGUCUGUCGGUGCCUGGAGACCCGGCUGCUGUCAGGGGCGGCGCUUAGACGUCGGGGUCAUCCGAGUCAUCGGCACCGAAAGAUUUGACGAGAACAGCGGAGGGGCAAGAGAGGCCGCGAGCUGCCGACGCCGAUGCAAACGCGACGUCACGGCCGGGGCUCUGCUCUGACUGAUAAACAACUCGUGUCAGGUUGGAGAUCAAUACGGCAUCCACCUUUUCCGAGCCCUGGUGACGGUGCCGUAUUUUGUUGCUGCCUCGUAAACAAACCAACCAAAUGUAGGCUGCAUUGCAAGUUGCAGCUGGCUUGAGAUCACAGAAAACAGACCAUAGCUACUUUUGGGCAACCCUUUUCCUUUUUAUUUGUGGUUUGGCAUGCUAUAGCUAGGUUCUGAAACCAGUCUGUCUGCAAUGAAGUGCUGGCCGACUAGUGAUCCACGAUUCAUUAUGCUUGGCUUCAGUGGCAAAAGUUUGGUGACGGUGCACGACAAAUGGCCAGGCGAUUCCGCAGUUUUAUUUUUCUACUACUAGAUUUCUUACAAGUUUUCUGUGGCUGCGCUGGCUUAUCCGUUUCUUUCUCUCGAGAAAAAGCAGAGAGCCUUUUAUUUGCAGCCAUGGAUGCUGCCGUUCCGAGCUGAUUCUUGCAUCGUCGUCGUCGUCUUCGUCGACGCCGCAAUGGUGGUGGAUUCCUUAGAGAAAGUGUUUUAGGUGGCCUGACGCUGCGCUUAGCGCAGCCACGAGAGAGACGUGUCCAACUCGAACGUGUGGUUGUGCCUCACGGCGCCAAGAAUUCAGACGCAUCGUCGUGGUGGGCAUGCUUCUUGCUGCUCCGACGUCAUGAUCGCUUCUGAAUUUUGUCCUGGGUUUAAUGUGGGGAUCACCAAAACCUCAAGCCCCGUCCACCCGUCCACGGUAUAAGAAACCUUUUGACCUCGUAAGUUCUACAUCAAGUAUAAAGAGGUGCGGAGCUAUUCUAGCCUCACGAGUCCCAAACUGAGAAGUAAAACUCAGCUACCCUCGAACGUCGUUAGCAGGUCUCAAGACUAACCUUGCAAGUUGCGCGUCAGCAACAACAAAAAUAGAACCCCGUUAACCUCGCACGCUCUAUGGAGGCACCUCUAAUGGUAAAAUCUCGUAUCCUUGCAUCACCUCUACUCCUAGAAAGACUCGAGGGCAGUGAUUGACAACAAUAAUGCCUAACUCCCACUGGGUUAACCCUCGAGUAUUCAGAGUCGGUUUCGGACACUGAGCUUUUAUCUUUUUACUCUUUACUCAGAAAUGAGCUCGCAUAAGAACUAUGCAAGGUUAAGACCUCUCGGUAAGACUCAACGAAGCAGGCGCCUUGAGGCUGGGCGUUCGUCUCGGAUCGCGGAUGAAGCCUCGAGGCUGGAUGAUCGGCUUAAAAUGAAGAUGAAGUCUUGAGGUUGGAGGGCGGGAGGUGUGAAAAACAUGAUCACAUGGAAAAGUUCAAUUUGUACACGUGUUCCUUAAUUACCUUUAUGUACGGCAUAUCCUAGGAAUGUAGUGGUCAUGAAUCACUAUAAAAGGGGAGCCCUACCCCGUUGUAAGGGGAGAUCAAUUUUUACAAUUGUGAAUAUUGUUCCCAAUGUAACUUUAAAUCUGUUUGGUGUCAAAUUUCUUUGAGACCAACAGGGCGUCACCAUGUUCUCAGCUACAAAACAACCCACGAUUCCAUAAACGAAGAAUAAGAAAACUGCACCACAGGAAGCAGCCGAGGGCGAAAGAGAGAACCCUGCGGCUCAAGAGAAAAAACGUUAUCCCUGUUGAUCAAGAUGGCACAGAUACCAUGGAGAAGUUAAAGAGAGUUGAGACUAACUUACGAACAAGAAGCGAGAAAAAAAAGAGUCGAGGCAGAAGUAACAAACCAAGCACAGCCGGAAACAAGCACAGGAAACGAUUUACUCGGAGCAGCAGAAAAGGAAUUGGCCUUAGUGCUAAGACAACUUGGACUCUAAAACAAGAAAAAGAAAUAUUUGCUCAAAAGCUGGAAGAACAACGUCUAGCGGCCCGAAAAAUAGCAAAACUAAAUCAAACAAAACAACAAUGGGCAGAAUUGCGAAAAAUAGCAAAACUAAAUCAAGCAAAAUAACAAUUGGCAGAAUUGCAAGAUGAAUUGGAUGAACUGCAAUACUUACCAAACACACCACCACAACCACCACCCCACCACCCUUGAGACAGCAGUAUGUCGCGAAUGACGCAAACAUCCGCAAGCAAAUCCUAACCUCACUACGCACAACGUGCCAGUGAUGAUAGGCGCUUAUGUAGCAAUCAACUAAAGCUCUCCAUUAUCCAUAGACCUGCAAACAGCUCUAUGGCCUCCAACCUACAAGACAGUUUCACUGCCAAAGUUUAAUGAGCAAAAUGACCCUCGUCAAUUUCUCAUGAGCUCCGAAGCUACAGUAGCAUCAGCUGGAGGAGAUGAUGUUGUCUUAGCCAAGUCCCUAAUCAUAGCCUACGAGGGUGCAACACUGAACUGGUACUCACUACUCCCACCGCAGUCAGUAUACAGUUGGAUAGAUUUCAAAACAAAGCUAAUAUAAAACUUCCAAAGCUUCCAUCGUGCAACAAUAGACUCGGGUGACUUGUUUCACUGCAUCCAAAGAGAUAAAGAACCCCUAGCCAAUUAUGUUAAAAGAUUCGUAUAAUUGAAGUCACAAACUCCAGGUGUGGAUGAAAGCGUAGCCAUAGUAGCACACUAGGCUCGACAACUUCGCACCUAACAAGAGAAAAACCUAAAACCAUGGAAGCCUUGUUCGCCGAGUUGGAAAAAUACUGCAGGUCAGAUGAGGAUCAUAGAAAAAGUGUAAUGGAGAGAAACCACCAAAGGCAAGUUCAAAAAGAUCAAAAUUGGCAAAUCCCGAAAUACAAUUUCGUACAACAUCAACAGCCAUAUCCAGCUCAACAUGUGCUACCGAUCAAGGGUGCUCAACCCUCCAGCAACAAAGUCAAAAUCACAAUAGACAAACCAGCAAAAUAACAAAUAAGUUAUGGCAAUGGACGAAGAGGCAGUCACUCUGGCAGGGGAGGCCUGACUUACCAACCUACCACGUUCUUAGUCUCGUGCCAGGAUUAAGCAGAAUUCGUUCAAAUGUCACUAGACGGUCUUCAGCUAAUCCCACGGGAAAACCGCGCACUGAACGCUGAUCUUCCGUGCUAUAGGUGGAGGCCUGAUCUAGUCCUUUCAGAAAUUCAGAGUAACCGACAAUUCAGCUCCUGUCCCCCUGUGAAUUCAAACAGCACGUGCCGCUAAACACAAAGAAACCUCAUGCCUGUUUUGAUCGUACAAACUAAACAUGCAUCAUACGGCUGCAAAGAACAAAGUGUAGUGCGUCCAGCUUUGCCACAUGGGCAUGAUAAUCGUACAGGCUAGAAAAUCGUACGGCUCGGAGAUCUCCUCCAACAGCCCCAAAAUUUCCAUGUCUGGUCACGGAUUUCUCUCUCGAAACGAAUAUAAGACGGCCCAAAAUCAUGAAAUGCUUCCAAGAACAUCCUGUACAAGACACAUGCAUCUAGCUAGCUACGAGAGCCUGGCAAAACAAGAUGCCAAGAUCUCUUUUAUACCAUUAUUUGUGGCGCCAAGCCAAUGAUCCUGACUCUUGGCUAUAGAAAGCAGAGUUUGAACAGCCCCCACAUGCUGCUGCGUUCAUCAGUGAGUGGCAUGACCGCACACCUAUCAAGCACCGCACGCAUAUUCCUCUCUCCAAGACUGUCCUUUAACCCAUCACACUCUCCUUUCUUUCUUUGUUCUUUCUCCUGCCUCUCGUUGAUCCCGUCGCUUUGAAAGAAAAAGAAAAAGAUGGUGCGGAUGCACGUCACAAGCAGAACGUAGCAUCACCACAAAAUUCGGUUACAAAUUUAAAAACUCAGCUACAGAUUUACAUUGGUCGCAGUACGAUUUAACUGCUAGUUUCGGCUGGCAAAACUAGGUUUUUGAUUUGUUUGUCUUCUCAUCAUCUCAUAAUAUAAUACGAUGACGACGACGGAUGUACACAUGGGUGAUGGAUGGGAUGGGACACGUACGUACGUUGGUUCGCCUACC
This 64339-nucleotide long non-coding RNA is filed under the name Setaria viridis. RNAcentral's name for it is "long non-coding RNA (SVIR_LNC011471)". Lineage: Eukaryota; Viridiplantae; Streptophyta; Magnoliopsida; Poales; Poaceae. The record is from RNAcentral.